UUAAAGCAAGCAAGAAUCUAGAAGGAAUUGAAUAAAUAUAUAUACACAUAGAGUUGAGCUAGAAUACUCUCAAAAUCACCAAUAGGGUGGUGCUUGUGAGUUUUUAAUCAUUGGAUGGAGAGACGUAGGGUUGAGAUGAUGGUGGUAGGUGGUGGUAGGUGGAAUAGUAUUUGAUCCAAGGGGUAUUAUUAGUAAUUAAGGAGUAGAUCCAAGGGCUGGAAACUUAGAAGCACCAAGGGAUUGGUGCUUCUAAAAGGAUUCUAGCUCAAUUAUAUAUAUAUAUAUAUAUAUAUAUAUAUAUAUAUAGAGUAGAGCUAGAAUACUUGUAAAAGUAUCACCCAAGUGAUACUUGUGUGUUUUUAGCCCUUGGAUGGAGAGAUGUGAGGUUGAGAUGAUGGUGGUAGGUGGUGGUAGGUGGUGGUAGGUGGAAUAGUGUUUGAUCCAAGGACUAUUAAUAAUCAAAAAGUAGAUCCAAUGGCUAAAAACACACAAGUAUCACUUGGGUGAUACUUGUAAAAGUAUUCUAGCCCUACUCUAUAUAUAUAUAUCUCUCUCUCUCUAUAUGCGCGCAUAUAUUAAUAGUAUAAAGAAGUUUCGAACAAACAUUUUGAGAAUGUGUAUGUGGAUAGCUUUACACCGUUAAACGAGAAAACGCUUCAUAUCGACCAUUAAAAUUACAAAUUUUGAAACCCUUUGAUCAUUAGGUCAAUGAUGUCAAAAAGAUUUGAAAUUUGAUUUCUAAAUACUUCAAAUGAUAUAGAUCAUGUUCAACGGUGCUGAUCGUCGAUUUGAAGGCUCCAUCAUCGAAAACAAGUGGAUGGCAACGGAGUCCGUUUGCUACCGAUAGCAUUCCAGCUCAACUCUCUCUUUCUCUCUCUCUCUCUCUCUCUCUCUAUCUAUAUAUAUAUAUAUAUUGGAUUAAAAUAUUAUUAAUAGUAUUUGAAUUUUUUUGCUAUUGAGUUUUUAAUCUUUGAAUGAAAAAUUAUAAGGGCUAGGAUGAUUGUGGUUCCCUAGGAUUUAAUAGUAGUCCCUCUAGAACUGAGUGAGUAGUUGGUUGAAUAGUAUGAUUUAAGAAUGAAAUUCAUUAAAGUGUAGAUUUAAUAGCUAAAAAAUCGAUAGUAAAAGAGCAUAAAUACUAUUAAUAGUAUGAUUUCUCUCUCUCUCUCUCUCUAUAUAUAUAUAUAUAGAGAGAGAGAGAGAGAGACUGAAAUGUUAUAAUAGCACCAAGUUAUUGGUUCUAUUAGAUUUUCGGCUUUUGGACGAAGGAUGUACGGUUAUAAUGACAGUGAUCUUCUAGGGUUGAGUGGGUGGUUGGUUGAAUAGUAUGAUCUAACAGAUAAAAAUGAUCAAAUGAGUAAAUUUAAUGAUAGAAAACUCGAUUACAUCAAGUACUUAGUGCUAUUAGAAACACCACUAUUGGACUCUCUCUCUCUCUCUCUCUCUCUCUCUCUCUCUCUAUAUAUAUAUAUAUGUUUGUGUAUAUAAAGUAAGUAUAAUUCAAGCUUAGAAGGACCAAUUUUCAAAUCACGUUAUGUUCUUUGUCAUAAUUAGAAAUUAAGGCUAAACUUUACAAAAUUUACUUUUGCACUUUGGCCCUUGUCUCAAUUAUACGCGAUUUAAAAAUUUAUCUCAAUUUGAACCAUGCACUUUACUACUGUUUCGAAUAGGUCCAGAAAUUUAGAAGGAUCAUUGAAUUUGGAUGCAAUCAACUAAAGCUGUAAUUUAUUCAAUUAAUAUUUUUCAUAUUUUAGUAACUAUGACAAUGGUUAUCUAUCUAAUCUUUCUCAUAAAAGUUUGGCCAAAAUACAGAAAAUCCUCUUGUAAAUACCUGUCUUUUCAUUUUUCCUUCCCAACUUUCAAAAAUCUAUAUUUUGCCUUCCUUAAAAUUUCAGAAAUAUUUUUAGAGGGGUACGGUGUUAAUAGAGAGGGCAAAAUAACCAAAGUACCCUUACUUCUUCUAUAAGGAAAAAUAUAAUUUUUUAAUAUGUUUCUCUUAUUUUAAAGGGCAUUUUCAAAAUAAAUUAUAAGAAAUGAGCGAAAUAGUGAUGAAACCUAAUGGAAGGAGGCUAAAUGCAGUAAUUUGAAAUAUUGAAGAGGUAAAAUGUAGAUUUUUGAAAGUUACGGAGGGAUAGUAAAUAAGCAUGCAUUUAUAAGGAGAUUUUUUGUAAUUUAGCCUAAAAGUUUUACACCCAAUUUUAUCAAUCUUCAAAAUAUUUUGCACCUAUUUUACACAGGGUGGGAUUUAAAUUAAAGCAAAAUUUUAUACCAAGAAGUAAUUGAGACAUGAGAUAAAGUAUAAUGUAAUACUAGUUAAAGUAUCUUCACAAUGGCGUAUAAUGUAAUACUAGUUAAAGAACCCGCGCGAGGCGGCGGGUAGACAUUAUUAUAACUAGAUUUUCACCCGUGCGAUGCACGGCUAAUAUAAUAAUAUAGAAUAAUAAAAAAUAUUAUUUGAUGAUAACAAAAAGAUUUUCUAAUUAAUUUUAUAUUUUUUAACAAAUAAAAAAAUAUACUAUCAAUCUUAAUUAUAGUACAUAUUAAAGUAUACAAGCUAGAGAAAAAAAUUUUUGGACCAAACUAAAUAUUCAACUAAAAUGCAAAAUUCAAUCCUGCUCAAUUAUCUAUGAAUUGGUGUGCAAAACAAUUUACAUUUACAUAUUGAUGUGCAAAAUAAAAUGAUAACUAAAAUUGAUAUGAAAAAUUACAAAUGAUAUUAAUAUUUAAGUGUCACGCCCCGGAUUACUCGUUCUCUGGGCACGCCGACAAAUCCGCUGUCACGCCCCGGAUUACACUUUCCCCGGGCGCGUCGACAAAUCCGCUGUCACGCCCCGGAUUACACUUUCCCCGGGCGCGCCGACAAAUCCGCUGUAUACAAAGGAAUUUCUCCUGUAUACGAAGCGAUAGAUGUACCUGUAAAUCAAACACUACUACGAACAGUAGUAGAGAGCUGCUAGAGAAAACAGAAGCUAAACAAACUGAGUUUCAUAUACAUAGUCCAAAUCCAAAAUACAAAGCUACUCGCACUGGCGAGUUAAGUCCACUAUGUACAUAAACUCGAAACAAAAUAUCUACCUGCAGUAGGGGCACCUUUAGCUCAGCACGUCGGGUAGGGCUCUAACUCGCGACGCCCUUGUCUCGAUCCUGAACUGCGGAAGGCGCAGCAGCCGAAACCUGUGGCUCUGCAAAACAGGGGUAACAACUGGGCGUGAGAACUACUGUAAAAACAAGUAGUCCUCAGUGGGUACCGCCCAAAACAACAUCGGUCCACCCACUAAGUCUACAGAAGGGAGCAGGAAUAGUAGUAAAAUGCAGGAAUAAAGUCUACCGCUAUCAAACACUACACUAUCAUGCUCUACACUAACCAACUGUAGGAAAUGUCCAACCUGACCCAAUCCAAUCGGGACUGUAAGCAUACCCGUCCCCGGGACUGUGAAUACACCCGUCCCUGCCCCGUUGCGACUAUCGGGCUCUAUCCACACUAACUGGUCCGUGGAGAGCAAGUCCAACUGGCAUGAGCGACACCAACGCGAAAGCACAAAGCCUGACUCCGGAGUGGCACUCGUGGGCGCUACCCAACCGAGUAUGCAGCGUAUCUCUGUCGAGCUCAAACAGGCUCCAACUAGCCAAAGUCAAGUGAACAGGGUCAAAACAGGUCUACAAACCAAACCCACGUGCCCUCGGCACAAUCUGUGACCAAAACAAGAAUCUGGGUCCACCGCUAACCCGAACGGCACCCAACGACCCGAAACAGCCUAAACUCUGCUGAAAAAUAAGCUCGGCACCCCAGCACGAGCGUAAAUGCCUUCUAAACUACCCCAGGUAUCCAUCGCACUGAUACUGCAACGAUACAAUCGAAUCACGGCUCCUAGAGCUAAAUCUGGUAGUUUAAGCAUAUGACGGGUCAAAACGCAGGUUUUCUCCUAAGUCAAAUUUCAAGUCCAACAUGUAUAAUUUAAAUAUUCAUUUCAGCAUGCUUCUACAUUCAUAUUACAUUCAAGAUGCUAAUCGAUGAAUUAAAGCAUGAUAUACAAAAAUCGAACUAUACACGUCGACUAAACAUGCACUUAGGAGCGAAACCGAUGAUACACCCACCUCUAGUGCAAUUCCUGGCAGCAAGAUGGUCUCGGAUCACAAGCAACACUGCUGGAAACACCUCCAAACCAGCAACAAAGCCCCUCAAGAUCUGGAUUUACAAUUCACCCAAAAAUCCAAUAAAAACCAUCAAUUUACCAAAAUUUCAGCACUUAAGCUUAAUUAUCUCAAUUCCAAUGUCAAAACUCACCUAAUGAUCUCCAAAUCGGGUGAGGACAGAUCCAAAUCUAGCAACUACUGAUGGGUGAUCAAUCUCAGGUCCAAAAUCCCACUGUCUAUAAAGUUAGCAUCAAGAAAAGCUCAAAAAUUCCAAUUUCAGCUCAAAGUCAACAGCAGUCCAGAAAAGACUCAGUUCGACCAAGCUAACCUCAACCAAAAUCUGCAAUUCAGGGUUUCGUGGAUUCCUCUAGAAGUCUAGAAUCCAGCAAACUAAGUUUCGUCAAAAUCCGACCUUCCUACGUCGCGCACGAGCCAAAACACUGAAGGUCGUCGCUGAAGAACUGCAGAAUCAGCACUCCAUCAAGCUGGAUCAAUGGAAAUUUGAUGCAAAUUGAGGCAAAUCCGAGGGUAGAGAUGCUAAAAGGGACUUCUCUGUGAAGAAAGGAGGAAAAGAGCUCACCAGGGUCACCUUCCAUUUAUUUAUAGGCUGCUGGAGAGAUAAGAUAAGCCCCAAGAGAAAACAACUGCUAUCCAGUACUCAUGCAGAAACGGGCAUUUCUGGGCGCCCGGAACCAUGUUGUGGGCGACGAGAACAUCCCGACUGCACAAACCGGGCUCCUCGGACUCUCCGCUCGCGGUGUGCUGCGCCCGUAAAUGGCUCCGGCGGAACUCACCUACCGCCUGCCACGCGUCGAAGCAAGCGAUAUUCACGAUGUCGAAUUUCCGGAUCCACAUCUGGGCGCCCGGAACAUGGGAUCCGAAUUGGCUUCCAGUUUCAGUUAAAUUCAACACUCAUUUCUGGGCGACCCUAAAAAUGUUCUGGGCACCCGAAUCUGGCAAAACUCCAGUUUUGCUUAUUUGAGUGCGCUGAGUCCAAUUCUGCAUCCAAUUCGUGCAGAAUUGACUCCGACUCAGUCCGACACUCUCCAGAGAUGUCGACCAGUCACUAAUACUGAAGCCAACCCUAUCCAAAGCUCAGGAACACUACAUCCGCCGUAUACAAAGGAAUUUUUCAUGUAUACGUAGUGAUAGCUGUACCUGUAAAACAUACAAUACUACAAACAGUAGUAUAGAGCUGCUAGAAGAACCAGUAACUAAAAACGAACUGAGUUCCAUAUACAUACAUCAAAUCCAAAAUACAAAACUAUUUGCACUGGCGAGUUAAAUAACAGUACGUAUAUGAACUCCAACAAAACAACUACCUGUAGUAGGGGCACCUCUAGCUCGGCUCGUCGGGUAGGGAUCUAACUCGCGACGCACUUGCCUCGAUCCUGAUCCGCAACAGCAGCAGCCGAAGACGUUGGCUCUGCAAAAACGGGGUAACAACAGGGCGUGAGAAUUACUGUAAAAAUAAGUAGUCCUCAGUGGGUGCCGCCCUCAACAAUAUCGGUCCACCCACUAAGUCUACAGAAGGGAGCAAAGGUAGAAUAAAUGCUGGAAUAAAAUCUACAGUUACCAAUUAUUACACUAUCGUGCUCUAAGCUGACCUACUGUAGUAACGUCACAUCUGACCCAAUCUCUUUAGGGACUGUAAAUAUACCCUUCCCAGGGACUGUGAACAUACCCGCCCCGCCCAGUUGAGACUAUCCAGCUACCUCCACACUAACCAGUCCGUGGAGAGCNUUUACUACUCUACUUACUAACAUUAUUGUAUCCUACACAAUACAACAAACUAUGGAAGGAAUACGUUAGCAACAACUAUUAACAAGGACAAACCUUGGAGAACAUUAACAUAACUAACGCUGCGGAACUUGCAUGUCCCCUCUGAGACAGGCGCACGUCCCUUUUGGGACAGGCAAGCCGCCAGACAACCGCACGGGCUUAGGCUGGUUUCUCCGCCCGAGCCCCGCACUGUGCGGAACACAUAUGAACUCAACACCAUAUGUGCCGCCCAGACACGUGCGCUGGCCUAUACGAAGGCGACCAUGGGCCCGCACUGUAAAACUCUCCUAAUUUAACUUUAAUUUCCAAUUUUAAAUUCUUAUUCUUUAAAAAUAUUGAUAUCCAAUAAAAAAUCGUUAAAUAUGCUUUAGUUAUUAUAGAUAAUGAUGAUUAAUAAAAAAAUUUUUUUACAUAAAAUAUAGUCUUUUAACCACCGUUGUUAUCAGCGGUGGUAUUUUGAUAGGCCGCCCCAAAAUCACCGCUGUCUUACAGCAGCGAUUAAUAGAUUGAAAAACGCCACUGGCAUACACCGACGAUUAAUAGAUUGAAAAUCGCCGCUGUUUAACAGCGGUGGUUUAUCAAAAUGGCUGCCCCAAAAUCCGCCGCCGUACACCGCUGUUAACAGCGGCGGUUUUAUAAAAAGCACCUCUAUUAAAACUGAUACCACCGCUGUAAACAGCGGUGAUUUAGAAUAUGGACAUCAUCACCUAGAUCUUCCUUUAUGAGUUUGGGAUUGUAAUUUUGGGAAUUUUGUAUCUCAUGAAUAGAAUCUAGGUUCGAGAGAAGGUUCGAUCCAGUGGUGCUCUCCCAAAGAAGUGGUGGUUCGGUAGAGAAGAGGUGGUAUCGAGGUGGUAACCGCGUGGGGUUCCUCUCUCUUUCUCUUUAGAUCUCUCUCUUUCUCCCAAAGAUAAUCCAACCUCUCCUCUCUUUACUCCCGAUUAGGAAUAAUGUGGGUGUGGAUAUGUGAGUAUAUACCGUAUAAACGUGAUUCGGGGAGGUUUAAUUAAGGUAGUUAAGUAUUGUCGGGCUUGACCCGUAAAACGCGGAUGCCCCAAGCCUGGGACGUGUCCCAGACCUGGAGCUCUCGUAGUGAAAGUCGAAAACUCGAUUUUGAAGUGGUCGGACGAGAGGACCCAGGUAUAUGGGAUACGUUCAACAAGGUUUCGAAAACCUUAACGAUUGCCUGGCAAGGUUGAGCAGACGUUGGUGUGAAGCCAGUUAAACUGCCUUCAAGCCAUAUUGAAUAACCCCUGUGCCAUACAAUGUUUUCUCGAGAAAGAGAGAUCCUAGAGAAAGAGAGAGGUUCUCCACCUUCGUUCCCUCUCCCACCAUCUCUUCUUCUGUUUACUCACCUCGUAGAAGGAGAAGAAGAAGAGAUCGUGUUCCUUCCCUUUCAAAAACUCCAUUCGAGGUACUCGAAGGUUCCAUCUUGGGAUCUUUAACCAAGUUUACGGGAUCUUUACCGAAAUCUACCUAGAAAUCUACUAUAAUUCGAACGAAAACGAAUAGAGUUUCUAGAUCUUCCACAUAUAACGAUAUCACGUUUCAAUCACAUUAUAUGGUCUAAAACCAUAUUUUUAUUAUUAUUUAUUUUUAUCACACUCUUUGAUAAAAAUAAUCUAAAUAUCUCCAUUUUGUAUUCAGUCUCCACUGAACACGACUUUAGCCUUAAUUUUGUCUUCUAGAUCUUAAAAGACAACCUCUGCCCUGUCUUUUUAUUCGUCUUUUACGUGUCAGAGUCUUUUAAUACUUUUAACCGCCUCUACAGUCUUUAUAAAAAUACUCCGAUCUAAAUUCCAAAGUAUAAAAAGACUGUGGGUAUCUCACUCUUUAUUUUAGGCUUUCGAUAGACUAUUUCUAACGUCCAGCCAUGUCAAAAGUCACUGGUUUACCCCAGCUUUGACUUGGUCGCUAGCAGUCGAACAAUUCAAUUCAUUUUGGCUCGUACUGACAGUUCAAACUACAUCGCAUUUUUCAUUACAUUGAUUCUCAACUUCCAAAUAUACAAUCGAUUUCUAAACAUAACAUUACAACAUCGAUUCUUUUCUUUUCUUUUCUUAUACCCCUAAGAAGCCGACUCAGGGUGCUGCUAUCUGGUCUCUGUGGUAGGGCGCUAACUACGGAGCUACGCCCUUUCCUCGCGCCGCCGCGCCGCUCGCGUGUGAACCUGUACCCCCAAAAACAACAACACGGGGGUGAGACUAUUGUCCAUAGUCGUCAGUGGGUACAGCCACCCAAGGGAAAAGCUCAACCCACCAGGUCCAAAGGAGGCACUGCAACAUGUUAGUCCAACAGAUAUAUACAUAUAACAUCAUGCAAUACAUGUUCAUGCCUCACAAAUAUGCAAAUUAUGCAACUCUUAGUCAUUCUUUACCAUUAGCCUUUCUUGAGAAUAUGCAAUUCUUUAUCAUUAGCCAUUCUUUAUUCUUUAAUCUUUAUUCUUUAUUCUUUAUGCUUUAUUCUUUUUGCUUUAUUCUUUAUGCUUUAUUCUUUGUUCUUUAUCCUUUACUAAGGGCACUCGCGCCUUAGGCUCAUCAUACACAUUUGCCAUUCUUUAUAACAUUAACAAACGUUUCUCAAUUGUCAUUCUUUCUCAAUUGCUAUUCUUUCUCAAUUGUUAUUCUUUCACAGGGUUACCUUUACCCUAGCCAACUAUGCCACUCGACUCGGUUUUGAGUCAAUUCAUAAUGAAUACAAGAUCCACUUUCCAAAACAUGAUUCCUUUUUGUUCUUUGUUCUUUAAUCUCACGGCUAACCCGGGGGUUUCGCCACAUUAACUUGCUUCACAUUAAGUCCAUCAUCGCAGGAACUCACCAGCUAGGACCGUCAUUACGGGUCUACUCCAACCCGGAUGCCAAACUCCGGAGAGCAUCGCCCGAGGGGGAGCGACCGCCCUCGAGCACGGAACUCAUAGCAAGUAUGAUCAAUCCUUAACUCUAAGGAUAUGUAGUUGGAUCAUGGUUUUACACUAACUCUAGUGUUCUUCACAUCACAUUAGUUGCUAACUCUAGCAAUCAUUAUUCUUUAUACCACAAUUAUCAAUUACUUUAGUAAUUGUCAUUCUUGAUAUCACACUUGUUCUUUUAUUGCCACACACUAACUCUAGUGUUCUUUAUGUCACAUUGGUUGCUAACUCUAGCCAUUAUCAUUGUUCUUUACACUUUGCUUGUUCUUUAUGCCACAUUACUUUACAUCACCUCUAGCCAUUAUCAUUAUUCUUUACAUCACAUUGCUUUGCCUUGUCUCAAGCCAUUAUCAUUAGGUUCUCACAUUACAUCUCAUGCAUACACAUAGAUUAUUUAGAUUCUUAAUCAUUCUAAUAAGCACGUGUACUCACAUCAUGCAACAUUACAUUAUUAUCAUCACAUUGUUUUACAUUAUCUUUAGCCAUUAUCAUUGUUCUUUACAUCACAUUUAUUCUUUGAUGUCCCACACUAACUCUAGUGUCCACUUUACCAUUUCGAAUGCCACUCGAUCUAUGUUCAACGUGCAUAUAUUUUGUCAUCCAUUGGUAGUCAUCACUCAGCAUUUUAUGCAUUCGUUAACGUUUACUACAUGCAUUCUCGGUUAGUACAAUCUCAUACUUUCAUUUGACAUCUAUUUAGCAUUUCUAUAAUAUGCACAUAUAAAUUAACAUCAACUCAUGCAUUCAUUUGGCAUCUAUCUUUAUCAUGCAUUCUUAAUUAGCAUACUUUAUCACGCAUUCUCAAAUAGCAUACUUUAAUCUUUAUCAUGCAUUCUUAAAUAGCAUACUUUAUCAUGCGUCAAUAGUAAACAUACUACACUUUAGCAUGGAAAGCGACCUUGUCGCUUCGGUGAGCACAACCCACCUCAUUUCGCAUUCCGAUUGCUUGUCGACACUUGCAAUCGGCCUCCCGCGGCACCCGUAACCCGGUUUGGCCCGAUCUCUCACGCGACCACCCGAACGGCCUCCAAUUCACAAUCCGAAAAUUAAAGGUCUUCGGUUACUGAUGCCACGAUGCCUUCAAAUCAUUUUCAUGACUUUACAAUAUCGCCUCGGCCCUCCCGGCGGACCCGAAGCCUAAACGUCCAUUUUUUAAUAACUUUGUAACGGUCGUCGCGAUCGCGAACUGUCUUCGCCAACAGCCGUUCGUUUACCUAGCAAUUAGGUUUACGGAGGGUCAAAUUAGAUCAAACCCUUAUAUUUACAAAAUCUCUUCGGAAGCCCUAAUAUGUAUUAACCUCAAAAUAAUCCAAAAUUAACGGAUCACAUGCUAACAAAGCUCAUUAGAGGCUAUUAGAAUACUUAAAGCCUAAGGAUUAGCCAAAUCCCAAAGCUUACCCAAUGUGAACGCCGUAACGAAACACGCCGUCUCUCUCUUUGAUCNNNNNNNNNNNNNNNNNNNNNNNNNNNNNNNNNNNNNNNNNNNNNNNNNNNNNNNNNNNNNNNNNNNNNNNNNNNNNNNNNNNNNNNNNNNNNNNNNNNNCUUUUGUACCGUUAAACGAGCAAACAUAUUGUACUGAUAAUUAAAAGGGUUAAUUAAAAUUAUAAAUGCACGAAUCUUAAAGAAAGCAACAGUAGAUCGGGGGAGGCUUCAAUAUAGAUACUUUGCUCCAGUUAACUUGGCGCCAACUCCCACAAUAAGAAGAAUCGCACAGUUAUAGCUAUAAAUAAGGAUAUAUAGGAGCAAGAAGAAUAAGUCGAUCGAUUGAGGAAUUGCCAAGGAUCAGAGAAUAGGAAUAGCCAGGGAGAGAAUAGGACUCUUGCUAAUUCUUGAUCAACCGAAAUCAGCAAGAGGAGAAGACGACGCUUACGCUCAUGCCGAUGCCGACGUCGGGGCUCAUCGGACUGCUGGUCUUCCUUGGCGGAGCGCUUGCUGGCGCGUUGGUCAGAGCGGCCCGACAAGCUAGAGAAGAGCUCCACGGCGGCAGCGGCAACAGCGGCAGCGGCCGCAACAGGACCAGUGAUAACGGCACAAGGAAUGAGAUGCAGCGGCGACCACCACUGCAGCAGCCUCCUCCUCCUCCCUCCUUCGAGAGAGAGAACCAUUCGUAAUCGCCCAAUCCCUUGCGUUUCUUUUCUUAGUACUAAUUGAUCAUAAACCUUAGGUACGUAUAUAUGUGACAGUCCUCUUUUAUAUUGGUAAAUAACAUUGGUGCACGGUGCAAUUAAUUCUGUGUACUUGUAGCGGGGGUUUGAGAGAUUUAGAAGAAGCCCGUGUUGAAGGAGGAGAAAGGGGGAGAAAAUGGAGGUGGAGGAGCAGAGGAGGACAGGAAGAACAUGAUGAUUCUGAUUGCGAUUUUGGCGAUACGGGAGAUGAUAACGGCGAUGACGGUGUUCAAGCUUAAGAUUGGAUUAGAGACCAAAAUUGCUGCUUUUCUUGAAUUGUUUCUAUUUUUUCAUAUCAUUGUUUACUUUUUGUUUGGGAUUUUUUGAAUUUCGAGAUAGUGCCAUGGCUUCAUUAAUGAUCUUGAUCUCCCCCAAAAGGAAAAAACUUGAACUAGCUUCAUUGUUCCUUAGGAAGAGAGGAAGAGAGAUAUUUUGAAUCGAGAGUUUUACUGUGGCCGACGUGGCUGCUUCUCCGCACUCGCGAGGAAGAGAGGAAGAGAGAAAAGGAGAGAAAGAAAGAGACGGGGGGGCCUGCGUGCAAGCGACCCGCGCCUGCAGCACUCGCGGGGGAGAGAGAGGGAGAGAGAGAGAGAGCAGAGGGAGAGAGAGAGAGAGAGGGCAGAAGGAGAGAGGGGGCGAGAGAGAGAGAGAGAGUGAGAGAGCAGACAGAGAGAGGGGGAGAGAGAGAUCUCUCUCUCCCCCUCUCUCUGUCUGCUCUCUCACUCUCUCUCUCUCUCUCGCCCCCUCUCUCCUUCUGCCCUCUCUCUCUCUCUCUCCCUCUGCUCUCUCUCUCUCUCCCUCUCUCUCCCCCGCGCGUGCUGCAGGCGCGGGUCGCUUGCACGCAGGCCCCCCCGUCUCUUUCUUUCUCUCCUUUUCUCUCUUCCUCUCUUCCUCGCGAGUGCGGAGAAGCAGCCACGUCGGCCACAGUAAAACUCUCGAUUCAAAAUAUCUCUCUUCCUCUCUUCCUAAGGAACAAUGAAGCUAGUUCAAGUUUUUUCCUUUUGGGGGAGAUCAAGAUCAUUAAUGAAGCCAUGGCACUAUCUCGAAAUUCAAAAAAUCCCAAACAAAAAGUAAACAAUGAUAUGAAAAAAUAGAAACAAUUCAAGAAAAGCAGCAAUUUUGGUCUCUAAUCCAAUCUUAAGCUUGAACACCGUCAUCGCCGUUAUCAUCUCCCGUAUCGCCAAAAUCGCAAUCAGAAUCAUCAUGUUCUUCCUGUCCUCCUCUGCUCCUCCACCUCCAUUUUCUCCCCCUUUCUCCUCCUUCAACACGGGCUUCUUCUAAAUCUCUCAAACCCCCGCUACAAGUACACAGAAUUAAUUGCACCAUGCACCAAUGUUAUUUACCAAUAUAAAAGAGGACUGUCACAUNNNNNNNNNNNNNNNNNNNNNNNNNNNNNNNNNNNNNNNNNNNNNNNNNNNNNNNNNNNNNNNNNNNNNNNNNNNNNNNNNNNNNNNNNNNNNNNNNNNNNNNNNNNNNNNNNNNNNNNNNNNNNNNNNNNNNNNNNNNNNNNNNNNNNNNNNNNNNNNNNNNNNNNNNNNNNNNNNNNNNNNNNNNNNNNNNNNNNNNNNNNNNNNNNNNNNNNNNNNNNNNNNNNNNNNNNNNNNNNNNNNNNNNNNNNNNNNNNNNNNNNNNNNNNNNNNNNNNNNNNNNNNNNNNNNNNNNNNNNNNNNNNNNNNNNNNNNNNNNNNNNNNNNNNNNNNNNNNNNNNNNNNNNNNNNNNNNNNNNNNNNNNNNNNNNNNNNNNNNNNNNNNNNNNNNNNNNNNNNNNNNNNNNNNNNNNNNNNNNNNNNNNNNNNNNNNNNNNNNNNNNNNNNNNNNNNNNNNNNNNNNNNNNNNNNNNNNNNNNNNNNNNNNNNNNNNNNNNNNNNNNNNNNNNNNNNNNNNNNNNNNNNNNNNNNNNNNNNNNNNNNNNNNNNNNNNNNNNNNNNNNNNNNNNNNNNNNNNNNNNNNNNNNNNNNNNNNNNNNNNNNNNNNNNNNNNNNNNNNNNNNNNNNNNNNNNNNNNNNNNNNNNNNNNNNNNNNNNNNNNNNNNNNNNNNNNNNNNNNNNNNNNNNNNNNNNNNNNNNNNNNNNNNNNNNNNNNNNNNNNNNNNNNNNNNNNNNNNNNNNNNNNNNNNNNNNNNNNNNNNNNNNNNNNNNNNNNNNNNNNNNNNNNNNNNNNNNNNNNNNNNNNNNNNNNNNNNNNNNNNNNNNNNNNNNNNNNNNNNNNNNNNNNNNNNNNNNNNNNNNNNNNNNNNNNNNNNNNNNNNNNNNNNNNNNNNNNNNNNNNNNNNNNNNNNNNNNNNNNNNNNNNNNNNNNNNNNNNNNNNNNNNNNNNNNNNNNNNNNNNNNNNNNNNNNNNNNNNNNNNNNNNNNNNNNNNNNNNNNNNNNNNNNNNNNNNNNNNNNNNNNNNNNNNNNNNNNNNNNNNNNNNNNNNNNNNNNNNNNNNNNNNNNNNNNNNNNNNNNNNNNNNNNNNNNNNNNNNNNNNNNNNNNNNNNNNNNNNNNNNNNNNNNNNNNNNNNNNNNNNNNNNNNNNNNNNNNNNNNNNNNNNNNNNNNNNNNNNNNNNNNNNNNNNNNNNNNNNNNNNNNNNNNNNNNNNNNNNNNNNNNNNNNNNNNNNNNNNNNNNNNNNNNNNNNNNNNNNNNNNNNNNNNNNNNNNNNNNNNNNNNNNNNNNNNNNNNNNNNNNNNNNNNNNNNGAAAACAAAUGGGUGGCAACGGAGUCCGUUUGCUAUCAAUAGUAUUCUAGCUCAACUCUAUAUAUAUAUACAUAUAUGUAUAUGUAUGUACGUAUGUAUAAUUAUCUGCGAAUGGCAUGGGUAUAAAUAUGUAUACAUGUAUAUAUAUAUAUAUAUAUAUGUAUAUAUACAUAUAUAUACAUAUAUAUACAUAUAUACAUAUAUAUACAUAUAUACAUAUAUAUAUAUAUAUACAUAGAGUUGAGGUAGAAUACUAUAAUAACAAACGAGUUCCGUUGCCAUCUAUUUAUUUUCGAUGAUGAAACCUCCAAAUUGACGAUCGGCACCGUUGCGCAUGAUCUAUAUCACUUGAAGCAUCUAGAAACCAAAUUUCAAAUCUAUUUGAUAUCAUUGACCUAAUGAUCAAAGGGUUUCAAAACUUGUAAUUUUAAUGGUCGAUAUAAGGCAUUUUCUCGUUUAACGGUGUAAAAAUAUCCAAAUCAAUUGAAUUUUGGUUAGAAAAUUCUUUAAACUAUUUAGAGCAAGAUCUAUUAUCUCGAUCUUGAUUAUAAGAUUCUUAUCAUCACUUUUUAAAGAAUAUUUAUUUUCAGCCGUUCAUUUUGUGUUCACUUGAUGGAUAAGAGAACAGUAUCGAAAAAGUAUAAAAUUUGAUUUCUAGAUACUUCAAGUGGUGUAGAUAAUGUUCAACGGUACCGAUCGUCAAUUUGGAGGCUCCAUCAUCGAAAACAAAUGGAUGACAACGAAGCCCGUUUGCUAUCAAUAGCAUUUUAGCUCAGCUCUCUCUCUCUCUCUCUCUCUCUCUCUCUCUCUCUCUCUCUAUAUAUAUAUAUAUAUAUAUAUAUAAUUAGUAAAUUUUUCAUAUUUUACGAUCCUAUUAUUUGUAAGAAUACGGCAAGUACUUUUCUACUUUUCGGCAGAUAAUAUAUAUUUUUUUACUUUCUUACAAAAUAGUGUAAUGACCCGCGCUUCGCGGCGAGAGGUCGUAACAUUGAGAGCUAAUAAUAUGACUUUCAUUAUAUUUAUUUAUCACAAAACAUACAGAUAUAUAUAACAUUCACAUUAUGUAAGAUAAAUAGAGACAAACAUACAGAUAUAUAUAACAUUCACAUUAUAUACAACAUUCCUUCACGUAGUUAAAUAAGUAGAGACAAAUCUACACAUUCAUGCACCUGUUUGAUGGUGAACAGCAAUGCUACAUAUGGAAAAAGCUUUUGGGGGGAGGAUGCAUGCACUCUAAUGAUAAGAAAGAUAGCAAAAGGACAAGAAAAUAUUCUAUGUAUUAUGAGAUAUAUUUUUUGUUUCAUGCACCUUAUGUUUGAUGUUAAACAAUAUUGGUAUAUAUAGAAAAAGUUGGGUAGGAUAAAUGCAUCGGAAUGAUAAGAAAGAAAGCAAAAGGAGAAGGAAUAUUCUAUAUAGUAUGAAAAAUUUUAUAAAAGAAAAGGUUAUCUUGUGGGUGAGAUACUAUUUCUAUUGGACUUAAAAAAUUAAAAGACAAUUUACAAAUAAUUCAUGGUGAAAUUGGAAUAAAAACAAGAGAUUUAGAAUUUUCUGUAAGGAAUAUAGUUUUUUUUUUUUAGGAGAUACACAGUGUAAUAAAAAUAUUAAACUUUGAAUAUAUGCCGGAAUUAUUUUUCUUAGGCUAGAUUUAAAGUUUCGUGUUAUUCUGACACUCCAAAAGUGAGGACGAAAAAUAACAGCAAUCUGAUAAAGAUUUUAGUUCGUAGACCUUUCGGCGACAAAGAAAAUGUUCAGAACUGUAAAAUUAAGAUGACGUUCUUCUGGUUGAUUUUAAUUGAGCUUGUCUUUAAAAUCAUUAUUGUUUAACAUGAUACACAGGGUGCAUAAAACAAAAUGUUCCAUAGUACAUGCUCCUUUAACAUAGCCCAUGUGAGUCCAUGUGAGGGAGGGAGAACUUGUGAGGGAGAGAGAGAAAACCCAUAUAAAAGAAAGGCCAUGUGGUUUGACAGAGGAACGGCAUUUAGUUUCAACUUUAGUAUAGAGUUUAAUGCUGCAAUUUUUGUAAGAACACUGUGUUCUAUGGGUGGGCUUGGUAAUGUCCUAACAAUUUUUGUUAUUGUCGCAAAAAAUUUGAAUUUUACUUAUCUUGCUACGCGAUAACGAAAUAAGAUCUGCAAAUAUCAAUUCUCUAUUCUUUAGAAGCUGAUUCAUGAAAGUAGAUUCAUAUAAUAAAAUAAAAAUAAUAAUUGUACCAUGUAAUUUGUCACCGAGGCAUUCAACAAGAUGCUUUUUCAACCCAAAAUCUAAUUCUUUGCUAUUGAAUAACAGGACAAAGAUACGGUUCUAAAGCACUUUUUGAUUUUAUCUUAGAGUUUUGAUAAAAACACACAAUUAAUUACUUAUAUUACAGUUAUAAGAAUCACCAUAGAUCGAGCCAUAAAACUAUGUAACUUAAUUAGGCUACUUGCACAUACCGGAGUUAGCUAAAGACUUGAUGGCCGGUAUCCGAUAUCUCAAAUUUAAAAUAUAGAUGUUUCACAUAUCUAGCUGAUCGAAUUAAAUUUCAAGAGAUGAACGAAACGGACAGAUUGUUAAUUUUCUCUAAAAAAAAGGACUCCACAACUUAGCUAAUUUCUAACCUUUUUUAAAUUUGAAUAAAAAGCAAUUCUUGAUGUUUCAUAAAAAAAUAGAGAGAAAAAAAGGAAAAACGACAACAAAAUAAUGUAAGCAUGUCUAUAAGCAAAGUAAAUAUAUUUCUCAGUUUUUGAACAGAGCAUAAGAUGCAGACCACAAGCCCAAUAUCAUUGCAUGACCAUUUUGUUGGGUUAAAGAGGUCAGUAUCCUGCUUUGCGGUGGGAGGUCAAAUUAGGCGAGUCAUAUUCAAAAUGGCGGAAGAUCGGAUUGGGCCGAGUCAUAUUUGAAAUGGUGUUAAGAUGGUUUGACGGAGUCGCAAUUGAAACUCAUAAACGCUGUGUCUAUAUAUUUUAAGCGAAUUAGUUAUAUUUUUCUAAUAACCCCCAGCUUUUAAAAUUAAUGAUUAUCUCUAAUUUGGAGUAGAAACAAGCCGAGCUCGAGCGAGCUUAUCUUAGCUCAAAUUCGGCUUGAAAUUAAUUUCGAGCUUAAAUUUGUCUCAAGCUUGGCUUGAGAAUAAUUUGAGUCGAACUCGAGCGAGCCUAAUUUCGAGUCGAGUGAGCUCGAGCCGUAAACGAGUCGUUUAAAAUUCUCAACUUUAUACUAUCAAUAGUUUAAUUUAUAUAAAACAUUAUUUAUAAUUUAACAUAAAAAUAUAUCUAAUAGUUCAAAAUACAAAAUAAUUAUAUGAAAUACGAUAUUAUAAUCUGAAGAAAAAUAGUUUAUGAGUUGAAUAUCUAAUCUUUUCAGGCUCGCAUGUCUUCUCUUUCGCCUUCAAUCUAAUUAGUAAAUUUUAAUAUUUUACAAUCCUAUUAUUUGUAAGAAUACGGCAAGUACUUUUCUACUUUUCGGCGGAUAAUUUUUUUUUUGUUUUUUACUUUCUUACAAAAUGCUGCAGUUUUUGUAAGAGCACUGUGUUCUUGUCACACCCCGGGGUGCCUUUUUGAUUUAAAAGCAAAGCAGAAGUACCCAAUUUUUUUUUUUUUAAAAAAAAUCCGACUCUCAGGGUAUGUCAGAGCCGCCAUAAAUAUAGAGAGUCUACUGUUCACACGGACAGAGUCUCCCCUGUAUUUGUACGGCGUCGUACAAGUACAAGAUACAUAAUACAGAAUACAACCAUCACAUAUGAACAUACACAUAUUCAUACACCAUUCACAUUCACAUUUAAUGCAUCACAAUUAUUCAUAAAUCCACAUCUACCAGUUUGAAAUGUUUCCUAUCCGGAAAUUUAUUUUGAAAUACUAAUAAUCAGGAAAACCAGAAAAUUCUUUUCAAAACUGUUUCCCACACGAAAACCUUUUCCUUUUUAAAAUUCGCUACCACGAGGGGUAGAAAACUAUUUCAGUUUGCAAAUAUCACAAAUCCUUUAUUACAUUCAUGAAAUCCCAAUUAUUCAAUUUUCAUGAAAUACUGAACCAUAAAUGCAUUCUAAGUCAUUAUUUAAGGAAAGCAUGUCAAGAGUUUAAACUGAAUGGACAGGUCCGAAAGCUCUACCAAACCGCUAAGUGCGCUCCUCACGAACCGUCCCACUAGGACCCGCUACCUCACCUGUAAUGAGGGUGGGGGGUGAGAACAUAUAAAUAUAUCUUCCCUCCCAGUGGGUACCACAAGCCGACGAGGGCGAGGGGUACUCACUAGUCACGGAGAAUAAACAAAGGCAUGGAUAAGGAUAAUACAGUAACAACGAUAAUAAACGAACGAUAUAUGUAUAAAUGAACAACUACCGCUACUGUAUGUAUGUAUGUAUCAACCGGACGACAAGUCCAAAAUACCUAAUCGAAACUGCCCUAUCAGUCCGUAGACCUCAGGCCUGUGCCACAACUACUCAAACCUGUAAAUGACCCUCGCAUAAGCACCCGAGUCUAAAAGGUAUAUGACCCUCGCAUAAAGCACCCGGGUCUGAAAGCACAUGACCCUCGCAUAAAGCACCCGGGUCUGAAAGCAUAUAACCCUCGCAUAAAGCACCCGGGUCUCACGGGCUAGUAUUCCCAACCACUUUUUUGAAAAAGAAUACCCUCUUGCGGUGGCCAAACCGUUGGUAUUCGUGAAAUGUGUGCGAGCAGUGUCGAUCAAUGCUAAUAUGCUCAAUAGCCAACCGUUGGCAACUAGCCGACAACCACAGCCCCUCGGGGCACACUGACCAAUAGGUCAUCGAACUGUAAGGAACACAAAUACUGACCACUCAGGUCAACUAGGAUGGAACAACUCAACAUCCCUUCGAAGACAUGCAAGUAUCGACCACUCAAUGUCAACUAACAUUUAUAUACACAAGAACCGAUGAAUAGGUCACGAAAUGUCACAUCAUACAUCGGUAUAAUUCAGAACUAACCGUCAGCCACUAGCCAACAAUUCUGCCCCUCAGGGCACACCGACAGCAUAGGUCAUCAAGUAGUCCAACCGACCAAAUAGGUCACAAUAACAAUGCAGUAAACCGACCGAACAGGUCACAGACACGGAAUACAACAACCGACCAACUAGAUCACAAAACAGAUGCAGCGCACUGACCCAUUAGGUCACAAUCUCACAAAUAAUCACGAAACCGCUCUACUCUAAACAUGAUACAGGAUAUGCAAAGCAGCUAAGUAGAGCAACAAGAAAACGUAGUAUAGGUGCUAGGCUUAACAUAUAUUAUAUGCUUGUAGAGUAAUAACGGGAGAACAAGGGUAAGAAGAUAUCACCGAGCGUGCACCGCUGUACCGACUUCGGAUCGAAGAACCCAUCUGUACAAAUAUGGUACUGGCCUUCCAACUACGGAGGAAGUAACAACCGGACCUACGAAGGGUCCACCGGGUUAGCGUCCAACCCACAACAUGAAUCACUAACUCACAAACCCCACCAAUAACCCUACGGGAAUCGGUUCCCAAAACCGAUUGCCGCAAUACGCCGGAAGUCCCGAAAAUCGCAUCAGGACUCCGCGAGGACCCACGAACUGUCUCGGAACUCACCGACUCGCUCUACGAGUCACCCGCUGCCACUACACUCAAUUAUUUGUGUGACAUGGCAGCAAACGUACAUCCUCACAACGAAACGAUUAUCGUCGGAUAAUCGUUCCGAUCUGGGUUCCCGGAAAUGUCAAAUUGGACACCAGAACCCACCGUCGCUCACCCGUCGUUUCCGAACCUUCGAAACGACAUGAAUGACUAGCCAACAAGGCUCAGCGACUACACAAUAUACCAUGAGGCACCGUCGGAAGAAUCCGAACCGAAAUCGCGUUCCAUCGGCGGAUUUUGCCGAAAAACGCACUGAAAAUCAACAUCUGAUUUCCGAGAAGGCCAGGGGCCUUGGACAACCAGUCCAGAGGUCACCUGAUGUCCGCACACACUGCUAACAGCAACCACGAAACAUACAAUUGCAAUAAAAACCCCUACUAUACCAUAAAAUCACAUCAUUUUAUGUGAUUUUAUCCGGUUUUAUGGCUCGACAGCACAAUCCGAGAGCUUUCAAGGAUGGCCGAGACACACGCUGAUAAGUCUCAACAUGCCAGAGGCCAUGCUCAUGAUUCGGAGCAUGGCCGGCCACUGUGAAGAGAGCGCGAGCGAUGCGAAAUUCUGUGAACAGCGCGCACAGGAACUAAAAUGCAUCUAAUUCCCUAAUCAGAGGCUCGUUGACCCCAAAUGAGGUGGGCACUAUGAUCAGCAUUGACUGACGAUCACUGUGCUCACCUCCGGAGGCAUCGGAACAGCCCCGGGUCGCCGGAACAGUGAAGGCAACCCAAAACAGUGCACAAACUGCUUAUGAAAAAAGCUUACCGGGCAAGGUGGAGCUACGGCACAGCCGGCGGCGGCCGGGCGGCGGGCACGCCGGCGGAAGAAAGGUGCGAGCGACGGAGGGAGGCCGAGGCGCGCAUCGGCUGGCGACGGGAGGCAGCGUAGGCGGCGGGCAUUGAUGCCCUAGCCGCAAACACAAACGGGAGCUCGGCUCCAACCCGGCAGGCAGGGACCCCCGGUGGAGGGGAGCGCCGGCGGCAGUCGGGUCCGGCCGACCAGGGGGAGCCGGUGCUCCCGCUGGCCGACGGCGGAAGGCGGCGAUGGCGGCGCGGGGAGAAAUCGAGCCCGCACGGGCCUCUAUCACCUCGGGCUGCAUCGCUUCUCCGACCACGACAAAGUCCGAAGCAAGCAUAGGAGGGGUGUGGCCAACCUCUGGAGUCGAGGGGAGGAGGCGUGGCCGGCGGCAGGCGGCGCGACGAAGUUCAGCUGCACCAUCCGAGCUAGCUGCAUAUUGAAACAAUGGUGAAUAUGGCGCUCGGGGGAGGCUGUGGCCGGUCGGGGAAGGUUGCCGGAGGAGCGCCUAAGGGUGAGGGAUCACCUAGGGUGGUCCAAGGGCAGAAAAGAUGGAGGAUGGUGGAGAUGAUGGAGAGGGAAGGCAUGAACACAAGAGACGUGACAAAACGUGUCUUUAAUUUGUUCAAAUUCUUAAGGAAAAUAAACUCCUGCAAAGUAGAAGUUCGUGCAACUUACUUUUCCAAAUAUAUCAGCAGAUGAUCUUCUUAAUUGCAUCCGCUUAAUCAUUCUGCUUGGCUCUCUCAUGUAAGCAUUUACUUGAUCACUAAUUUUCUGAGCACAUAGACAGGAAAAUAUAGGAAAGAAGAAUACAUAAUUCAUAUGUCCCAAAAUCUUAAAUAAGCUGCUGUUAUAUAAAGCAGAUGAAUAGAGUGAGAAACCUGAUUAAAAGCAUGCAAUUUGCCCUGAAAGCAGAAGUGCCAGUUGUCACUUGUGUCUUCCUCUGCCACUUGUCUACUUCACUAUUUCUGAAUGGCACAAUUCUGCCAAUUGACACAGAUAAGUAUUCAAUUAUUUAGCUCAUCUUCUAUUUGUUUCUUCAAAUUUAGCAGCUACAGGGAUGGACUUGCAAAAAAUGGCAAUACAUCUUUUAGCAAUUUUACAUACAAAAUUGCAAGAUAUAGAACAACUUAUUUUAGCAGCACUUUACUCCAAAAUAUUAAAUUGCUUGACAAGGUAAUUGUUCAACUAGAAUACAAGGUAGAACUAAAUGAGAAGAACAACUGUUGCAUUUUACUACAUCUAUAAUUAAGCAUUAAUAUACUGCACGCUUGUCACAAGGACAUGUAAUUCGUUGAGAAGAAAACCUAGCAAAAACAAUAGUGUACAAGCAAAGACGUGAAAGAUGGAAAUAAUGCAGCCCACGUAGAACCCAACAUACUGUAGAUACUUUGCAACUUCAGCAAAAAUGCCAUUGAAUUUAUGGACCUUGAAAGGGAAACUAGAUUUAACAGCAUAACUAACCAUGCUUUAAGAAUUUCGUAAUUAACCCUAUUUACAUUGUUGAGGUAGAAAUCAGAGAUUGGAAGAACAGAAAGUUUGGUACAGAAUUACACAAAGCAGUCAGGCAGCUGAAUUAUUAAUAAAAGUACUCCUUAAGACCUCAUCAACUAUGUACAAUUAGUUAGGUUUGAAUCUUUGAAGUCCUAACUUGUACACAGAUUUAAAAAAGUAAAACCUACUAUUCGCUUGUCCAUUUCUGCUUCGACCAAAGUGGCUAGAAGUUUCUCUAUCUCAAUCUGCACAUAAUUACAAUAAAUAAGUGCAUAGACGUAUAAAACAAUUUCAAUGCAUAAAGCACUUGAAACGCAUCUACUUGGGACAACUGUGCAGUGUUGUCAGACUCUGGCUAGAGAAGCAGUUGGAUCAAAGAAGAUGUUCUUAUUAGUCAAGCACCAAAAUAUUCAGUUAAAGGAAUUAGGAAAGUAUAGAAAGCCAUUGCAUUACAAUGGAUAGGAGGGAGUACCUCCUUUCUGAUGAAUGAUGGCAAAAAUUCGAAUAACACAGAUGCCCAAGGCGAAAGAUGAGACGAAAUAUCAUCUGUGGAAACACCUUCGUUCUGGAGACUAUGAAUUUCCUACAAUAGUCACAGAGCAUCCAAUAUAUUAUUUAAAUGUCUAACUCACCAAGUGGUAGAAGAAAAAUGGUGGCCAAUUAUGAAAAAAAUAUAUGCAUAUGAAAAACAAAAAACAAAAACAACUCAUAAAUCUAGUCUACAGGAUUAUAGUUUUAAGAUAAUAAGAAGCCAUGAAAUUUUAAGCUACCUGAAGAUCACGAAUAAGAUGAAUAAAAGAUGAGACCAUUUCAUUCUUUCUUUUUCCUUUUUUUUAAGAGAGAACUGAGAAGGAAUGUGUGUGUACAGAUCACUCUUGCACCAUGAAAUUGUGGAUUUACUGGUUAGCUAGUAAUGACUAGAAAAACUAUUAACAGAUAUGUCAUUCACACAAUAGUACCUAAAUUACAUUAGUAGGAUGUGCAUGACUACCAUAUUAAAGUAAAAAAGCAACGGUAAUAAAAAGAACUACACUAGAUGCUUUGCUGAAUAAUUAGCAGGUCGAAUGAUAGGCUAGGAGGCCCUUGACUACACAAAACAGAGACCCUUUGUUAUCACUGACAAAUUAGCAUAUGGCAAAUAUCAUUCUAUAAAUGAUUUUAGCAGCCAAGUAAUAUAACCACAUAGUAGAAGCAUAUACUAUGUAAUCUCUUCUAAUGCUUCUGCUAAUAAUUCAGAUCUAAUAUAUCAAAGCCUUUCAGUCUACUGGCAGAUUAAUUUCUUAAAGUACUAGAGAGCACAAAGGAAAAGUCUAGUUGAUCACUAAUUAGCCUGAGAAUGUGAAAUUCAAAAGGAGUUGCUUUGACAAGAGUCAAGAACAACACAUCAAAUUUUCAGACGAUUAUGAACUUCCUUUUUAAAUAGAAUCUUGUUUUUGUAUUUUAAGCAGAUAGUGCAUUUAUUAAGCUCAAAAAUAAUAUAUGCAAAAUCAUAAAAAAAAGACCACUGUAAGUACUUAUAUAGUUAAGCAAGUACUUAGACCAUUUGUGUUUUAUACAUCUUGAAGUAUAUUUGCAAACUCAUGAUUUCAGAUGCUCUAAAGAAGUCAAUAAACCUUAAAGUGCUUAGAUACCAGGCCAAAUACCUAAACAGUCUGUGCUUCAUAUCGCUUGAAGCAUCAUUCGCAAAAUCAUGACUCCAAUUCUCCAAAGAGUCAAGAAACUCUAAAUUACUUAUAUACUCACCAAACACCUAUACAAUUUGCAUUUUAUUGUAAGAACUGAGAUUUUGACAAUAUAACUAGACUCUUUGUUAACGAUGUUUUCAUGUGUAAUUUAAUUACAUAUGCACUCGUCAAGUUUCAGGAUAAAACGAGUUAGGAUGGAGAAGUUACGCGACCUUUAAUUAGUGAUCACUUAAAGUGAAUAGUAACUUCGAUUUUCCGGAGAGGCCAAUCAGUGGAGAUGCCUUCUGGUGCAUAUUGGACUCCAUUUAUAGUGAUCCAAUAGCUCGUUUUUGAUGGAUCGACUAUCCUGGAGCCAAUGGACGGAUUUGGGUUUGAUGUACAAGAAAAAAGGGGUUUAUUGGACUUACACAAAUAUGUAAGUGUGGUUUUUUGGAAAUUUGGAGAGGGGAUGAAUUUCGUCGCAAAUCGGCGACAAAAUCUGGUGAAACAAAAUAGUAGAUUAAUUCGAUACCCCAGUCGUGCUGAACUCACUGGCACAAUCCGAUCAGAAAUCCGACGGACGGAUCUCUCGAAAUCGCAUAAUGUUCACUGAGGGGUCGAAAUUGACAAAAUAAAAAAAUUCACGAAAAGCCCAAUAUUUUGUAUCGUUUUGCGCGAUUUUGAACGUCAAGGUGCGUAUGUGCGAAAUACACCCGCUGUGAGAGGCUGGGCUGAAAAUAUGCAUCUCUGAAGGACUAAGUCGCAUAAUGGCCAAUAUAUAUACAUUGGGCAUUUAGGGUUUCAUGCACGAAACCCUAACCCUAGCUGCCUUAGCUCCUCUAGCUGCGCCCUAGCCAUCACCAGCACCCCUCCCUGACCUCGCUGCGCGUACCCCGGCCGCCGGCGAGCUCCUCCAGCCACCGAAGAAGAGCUACAUUGCCUUUCUCCACCAUCUCCUCCACCAUCUCUGUCGUGGACCACCCCUGAAGUGAUCUAACCCUUGGGCCCCCUACCCUGGCCGCAUCCUUGGUCUCCGGCGACUCCCUCGUCAAUCCCCGUCGACCCCGCGCGCCGCCAUCACUGCCUGGGCGCCCUGCGACAGAGCCGAGGUUAGCUCGGGCCAAGCUGAGUUUAGCUCUUUGCCUGCAAGCCGCAGCUGCCUGGGACCAGCCGCGACGCCCUCCCUCAACCUCCGGUGACUCCACCCGCCUGCCCCCGCCGCUGCCGCAUCUGGCAGCCUGCGGCCUCCCCAGACCAGCUAGGGCCGAGCCGAGGUCAUCCUUGUCCCCAUGCGCCGCCGCCGCCGCCUAGGGCAGGCCGUGCCGCCCUCCAUCGACCUCCAGCGACCUUUCACCGUCGCCCUGGUGCUCCCCCGGCCGCUGCCCGACCGUCAAUGCACCGUUGAGCCCGAGCCAAGCCCGGGCGAGCUCGGGGUGCUCCAGCGCCGCCGCCGCUACCUUCCACCGCCGGUCGGCGUGCACGCUGGCUCUGCCUGGUCGGCCGCACUCGUCCGCCACCGGCGGUCUCGUCGCCAGAGCUCUCUAUCAGUCGGACUAGGCCCGUGUUUUUCACGGGUUCGUGUGGUUAGGGCAUCAAUGCCCGUCGUCGCCGCCGCCUUCCGUUGUAGGCCAAUGCAAGCCCUGGCCUCCCUACGUUGCAUGCGCCCGCCUGCCGCAGGUGUGCCCGCCGCCGAGCCACCGCCGGCCAUGCCAUAGGCCUUCUUGCCCUGGUGAGCUUUAUUUUAUGCUGUUUUGUGCAUUAUUUACAGUUCAAAUCGCAAUGUUGGCGACCCAGGGCUAUUCCGAUGCCUUCGAAGUUGAGCACGGUGAUCAUCGUUCAGAGCUGAUCACAGUGCUCACCUCAUUUGGGGUCACCGAGCCCCAGAUUGGGGAUUUAGACACGUUUUAGUUUCAGCGUGCAGCUUCGCUGAACUUUGAGUCGCUCCCGCGCCUCCCACAGUGGACGGUUGUGCUCCGAAUCAUAAGCACGGCCUUCGACACGUCGAGACCUAUCAUUGUGUGUCUCGGCAAGCCUCGAAAGCUCUCAGUUUGUGCUGUCGAGCCAUAAAACCUGGUAAAAUCACAUAAAAUGAUGUGAUUUUAUGGUAUAGUUGUCACGCCCCGGGACCCGGCAUAGGCCCGCCCGAUGCGUGCCCAGACUCGCCAUAUGCCAGCACAUAUAAGGCGUCUACAACAAAAGCGAUAAGUGAACAAGAAAUAAAGAGUAUCUAGAGAUAUCAGAAUAAGUAUACAGCUAAGUUCUAUCAACAAGUAGAAUUAAAGAUAACUAAACCACUAAAGUAAAACAUAGGUUAAUACAUCAUAAAUCUCAAGAUACAUAUAAGGGGUGGUCUCUACAAAAAGGUUCAAAUCUCUCAACCUCUCCAAAAAAAAACAAAAGAGAGGUGGACCACCUAUCGACAAGUCCCUCGCUAGCUAGUCCGAAGCGAUACCUAUCCCGCGACCCCGAGCAUCUCCCGGUGUGGAAGGCUCUGAAAGAAAAUCAUAAAACAGGAAGCGUGAGAACUAUAAUUUAUAGCUCCCAGUGGGCAAUUACUGACCUGAACAAAGUGCGCCACUUGGUCCAAAAGAGAGCAGAUAUGAAUAACUGAAAAUAACUGCGAAAAUAAAAGCAUAUAAUAAAAUACUAUUCUACUAUACCACAAGUAUACAUGAUGUCAACAUGGUGUACAUCUAUUCUAUCAUGAUUCCAAUUUGCCAAUACGUAACAAUUAUGCUCUAUCAUGGCUACCAAGUAUACUAUGAUGCAACAACUAAUACUAUCAAGUAUACUACUUGUCCCAAAGUCCAAUAAUCCAACUACUCUAUGCUAUCAAGUAGUGAUUGUCAUAAUAUUGUUUAAUGUUCUCAUUUAAUCUCUUUUAGGACCUACACUUGUGUAGUCCAGCUUGUGCCGCCUAGCUGCCUGUGGUAGCCCGUCAUUCCAGGCUAGGAAUGAGUCUGUCCCACACGACCCUACAGGUGUCUCGCCGCCGAGCUGCCCAUGGUAGUUCAUCAUCCCAAGCUGGAAUGAGGCUGUCCCACGCGACCCAACAGGCGUCUCAAUCCCGCACGAGCAAACUGCGUCACAAAGGCCAACUCCGGAGUGCCGGCUUGUAGGGAGCGACCCUCACAAGCAUGUGCGAAUGAGCACAAAUGGCAAGCAAGUAUAGUCAUCGUAUCACGGAUCUCGUCAUGAUGUCUCUAAUAUGGAAAUACUCACUAGCGACCCCACAGGUCUAGUCCAAUGUCUCAAGUGAAGGUUUAACCAUUCAUUAAGUUCGAUGUCUCUAAAUGACAUUAUAUCUCAUUAUAUCCAAAUCUCAUUCCAACACUAAUGCCACUUCAUGACAAUAGGUUUACCAUGCCUAUUCAUAUUCCAAGCUUAAUGCCGCUUUAUGACAUUAGCUUACUAAAUCCAUUCAUAUGCCGAGCCCAAUGCCACUUUAUGACAUUAGCUCAUUCCUAUGCCAAGCAUGAGUUCUAAGCCCAAGAGUGCAAUGUACUCAUCAUUUUCACUAAAUGAAAUAUGAUCCCAAACCAAGUAUAAGAAUGCUAACCAUAGGCCCUAAGCCGAACAUAAAAACUCUCUACUACAUAGAGAUCCCAUAUGUAUUGUAUAAUACAUGUGCAUUUUAAGCAUUCUAAAAUUCUCAAAUAUUCUAUCUAGUAUGAAUAUGCAUGCAUUUUCAUUUUACAAUGAAUAAAAACCAUCAUAGGAAAAAUUUAUCCCGUUUUGGUGAGGUCAAACCAAUCAAGUCUCCUCGCAAUCCUUCGUUUGUACCGACGAAGGUGUCCACAAGCCUCCUAGCUCCCUAAAGGUUAAACUAGGAGUGUUACACGAACGUUACGAACAACACAUAGGUUAAACAUUAACCAACUCAACAAAAGGGUCAAAACUCACCUAUAGUGUAGAAAAUCCCUCUCAAGCUCCAAAUGAGAGCUAGAACCCUUCCAAUCCCACCUAGGGGAAGAUUCUAAUCCAAUCAAUUGAGCUCCAAAAGCCCUAGUUCAAAAAUCCCCAAAUCACACCCUAAUUUCACAUAUCUAGGGUUUCAACAUGAAAUUCAUGAGAAUCAUGAUCAAAAGAGAAGUAGUAAGCAACUAACCUCUCAAGAAGCUCCCAAAUACCCAAGAGACCAGCUAGGGUUGAUGUUCUCUCCUCCCACGAGCUCUAACCACGAGCUCAAGGCUUCUCCAAUGGUGUAGGUUGUACCAAGAAGCAAAAGAGAGCAAAAAAAAAGGUUUAAACCUCAAAAUCCCCACAUGAAUUAAAGAAAAUCAAAGAUGAGGGAUAGAGGACUCCCUUACCUUCUCUUCCCUGCUUCCCAGCUCAGGGAACACCAAGAGGGGCGUGGGGUUAUUUGCAGUAUAGCUACAAUUCCAAAAAUACCCCCUAAAAACAUCUAGAUUGAAAUCUGGCAAAGUGUACCGGUACACGGGAAAGUGUAUCGGUACAAAACCCUGUACGCACAAACCCGAGGCUCGGGUUGGCUGAAAAAUCGCAUUUGUACUAGUACAAUCAUCAAGUGUAUCGGUACAAAAUCUGUUCUGGUACAACCAUCAAGGCUGUACCGGUACACAGCCCUGCUGAGGCAAAUCCGAGAGUAGACCAAAAAUCCGUCUUUUUGGGUUUUGGUGCAAAGUUUUAAACCUCCAUUCUCGGGAUGCGAGCCAUAGGUCGAAACACUGUCUACAACCCUACAAAAAAUGUGAAAAAGCUCGAAACACAAAUCAAACACUCAAACCUUGCAAUUUGUAAAAGUUCAGUGUGUUACAUUCUCCCCUCCUAAAAAGGAGUUUCGUCCGCGAAACUGUGGGUCAACCACGAAACAGACCCAUCUAAAGAGAAUGGAAGAAGCGCUCCAACAACACACCAAACAUACCAUGAAGGUCUCAAGCGUGCCGGAAUGCUCCACAGCAAAACACACAAGAUCCCGCGACGCCAAGGCUUUGGCAUAACACAAGCCAAACUUCCACAAAAGCUCCUCGAACCCAAGUCUUCACCGGAAAGUUCCAUCUCUAACCCGCGCUUGUUCAACAAGCCCAUCAGUUGGUCCUUACGAAUCCAAGUGCUCCCAAGGUUAAAUUCCAGUUCUCACUUUCCUCAUCUAAGUUGAGGGCAAAGCCUAGCUCUGCUUCGCUUUACUCUUAAAUAUAGAAUUCUAUCGUAUAUCCUCUUGAGGCGGAUUCAACGACGCUGUCCAUAGCAAGAAUCCGGGGUCACACCCGUUACCCAAUUCAUCAAAACUCCACCGAAGUACUCACAUGAUAUCAAUCACCAAAGAGAGGCGAUGCAACAUCCAAUCGCCAACUUAAUCCCAACGAUGAUCUCACAACUCAAAAUCAAAUCCCGUCACGAGAUUGCACAAUUGGGUGCCACUCUAUUCCAAAAUUAAGUAUGGUGUAAUUUCCACAUGGCUACCAUUCCAGCUUGCUUGGCACGAACGACUCUACAAUCAACAUCCACGGCAACAAUCCUUUUGAUAGCAACGGAAACCGACGAAUCAUCCAAAUUUGCUCAGUAUAUCAACUAUCCAGAUCCGAUCCGGUUCACGAACACCUUUAACUUUUUUGGGGCUAGAGAAGAGCAAUGCUACAUAUAUUUUCCCAAAGAAAUGUAUAUUUUACCAAAGUACUAUAUUACUUUCUUACCUUGUCAUUUUCUUAAUAUUAAUUUAUUUUAAAAAAAAAUUUAUGAGGUCUAAAAUUGCAAGUGCAAAAUAUUUAACACAUUUUGGUAGCUAAAGUACAUAUCUUUUAAAAGUAAUAUUAAAACGACAGAUCUUUUAAACGUAUUAUUAAUUAGGGCCAGUGAUAGAGAUAAGAUGUAGAAGUAUGAGAUAGGAGAGGAUAAGACUGGGGGAGAGAACUAUAAGUGGGCGUGCAUGAUGCACGAGAGUACGGACUUGGAGAGGGAAAGUGACUGCAGGCCGACCUUAUAGAUGUCGAUGGAGAAAAACGGACAAAAAUUCCAUGAACAUCCGUCUCCAAACUAUUUAGUUUGAAAAUAAUACGGGUGGACGUCGCACGGCAGAGAAGGGUAAGAUCUAUGCUUUUUCUUAAGGUGUCCAAACUAUCUGAUAUACUAUAUCCGAUCAGGAUACUAUUCGGACCCGAACCGAACCCGAUAAAAAAUGGAUAGUAUACGAGUAAAAAAAAUUACCUAUUAAAGUUUCAGGUAUGGGUCCGAAUAUUUUAUAUCCAUACUUGAUUUGGACCUGACCCGAACCAAACUUUUAAAUAGGUAGGGUACGGAAUAGUUUUCAAAUCAAAUCCGAAUCCGGACCUGAUGAAAUAUCUGAUAGUAAAUAAAAAAGAUUUGAACUUUUAAAGUUAAGGGAUCAAUUUUAAUAGGACUUAUAAAUGAUGGAUCUUUAAGUAUUUUCAUCCUAGUUGAACACUGAAACUCUAACCGCCUUUUUACUCAUUUCUUUUUUCUAAUUUUCUUUUUUACUUUUAUUUUUUACUCUUUAUUUUUUUUGUUUCAUUUUCGCCUAAGAGUUUUUUAUAAAACAAUAUUUCCAUCAGCGUCAUCGACAUCAAUUCUCUAUAGGUGUGCAUGAGUGUGUUUUUCCCAAAUCCCUUGUCCAAUUAUAGUCGACAAUCUACUUUUUUUUUUAAUGAAUAUUCUAUUUAGUAAAUUUUUUUAUUCCACUUUAUUUUUUUCCUUCUUUUUGAAUGUUAGUAUAUAAUAUUAAUAAUUACAACAAUCUAUAGAGUGUGCUUGGUUCGCUUCUUUUUCAUCUUGGAAUCGGAAUCGGAAUAGGUGAAUCCAUUUGUGGGUGUUUGGUACGUAGGAGUACCAUUUUGAUUCCGAUUUCCGAGUGGAAUGGGAAUCCCCCAAUCACCUCUGUUUUCAAUCCGGCCUAGGAGGCCGGAUUGAAAGUUGAAUCCAGACGGAAUGGAUAUUUAUUCGGAUUAAAUUUAUUUUUUUCAACUUUUUAAAUUAAAAUAUGAGUUAAACUUUAAAAAUUAAAUAUAUAAUUUUAAAUUUUAUUUUGAACUUAAAUUAAAAAUUAAAAUUUAAUCAAGUAUUUUGAAUCUAACUUAUUAAUUUGAAUUUAAAUUAAAUUUUAAUUUAUAUAAAGUUUUAUUCAAAUUUUAUUUCAAACUUAAAUUAAAUUUAUGGAUUCAAAUUAAAAUUUAAAUUGUAAUUUUAAGUUUGAAUUUGAAUAAAUCAAAAUUUAGUUUCAUAUUUUGAAUUAUCCACUCAACUUCAAAGUUUAAUUUUUUUUUAAAAAAAUAGAUUUAAAAUUUUGACAUUAUUUCUAAAUUUUGAUGUAAAUUUUUAAUAUUUAAUAUUUAAUUUGAAUUUAAAUUAAUAUAUUAUAAAGAUAAUAUUAGUAUAUUAAUUUGAUUACGUUUUUUAUAUUUAUCUGAACCAAACACCGACAAUAGGAAUGAUUUAUUUCGAUUCCAAUUCAGGUGAUAAACCAAACAGAAUUAGGUAAUGAGUCAUUCUGAUUCCGAUUCCAGCUUAUUUUGAUUCCAAUUUCGAUUCCGACUUCGAACUAAACACACCAUAUUCUCUUUGUCUGGGGAGAUUUAUAGUUUGUCCACAGGCUAUUUGAUAAAAUUUAUAAAAAAAAAAAUGUAUAUGGGUACCUGCAUUCGAUUUAGACCCGAUCCGUAUCCGGUUUUGAACGGGUAGUAUAUGGGUAAUCACUAUCCAGAGCUGCUCAAAUAGAUCUGACGAGUAUAUUAGUAACUUAAUUAAGUACCCAGAUCCGGACCCAACCCAAAAUUAAAUAGGUAGAGUAUAUAUAUNGUUCACGAACACCUUUAACUUUUUUGGGCCCGGAGAAGAGCAAUGCUAUAUAUAUUUUCCCAAGGAAAUGUAUAUUUUACCAAAGUACUAUAUUACUCUCUUAUCUUGUCGUUUUCUUAAUAUUAAUUUAUUUUUUAAAAAAAUUAUGAGGUCUAAAAUUGCAAGUGCAAAAUAUUUAACACGUUUUGGUAGCUAAAGUAUAGAUCUUUUAAAAGUAAUAUUAAAACGACAGAUCUUUUAAAUGUAUUAUUAAUUAGGGCCCGUGACAGAGAUAAGAUGUAAAAGUAUGAGAUAGGAGAGGAUAAGACUGGGGAAGAGAAUUAUGAGUGGGUGUGCAUGAUGCACGAGAGUACGGACUGGGAGAGGGAAAGUGAUUGCGAGCCGACCGUACAGAUGUCGAUGAAGAAAAAGGACAAAAAUUUUAUGAACAUCUGUCUCCAAACUAUUUAGUUUGAAAAUGAUACGGGCACGGCCCAUCCAAAGGACGGCCAUGAAAGGAGAAAAAAAUAUUUAUAACGUGUUUUGAGAGAGAGAGAGAGAGAGAGAGAGAGAGAGAGAGAGAACAACAGUGGAAGAGUACUGGAGGGCGUGUUGGAUGAGUCAUGCGGCGCUCAUCUACAUUGUUCCCAAUUUGGAAACAAUGUCUAUAAAAUUUUUGUUCCAACAAAAACACCUUUAAUUUGCCUAGGCAAGUUAAUUAAUUAAGCCAGUCAGAGCAGUGGUGAUUAAUUAUGCUGGUUGAGCAGUCCCAAGAGCAUCUCCAGAUAUAAAUUAUAGUCCCUCUCUGCAACUGAAGUUAUAAAUUAAUUACGAUGGAAUAAAAUAUCAAAACACAUGCAAAAAAAUUAAAUUCUAAGAUAUUUAAUUAUCAACAUGAGAAAAAAAAUUUUAUACUUUAAAGUUUUACCAAAUUAUGUGCAAUUAUACAAUUAGUUUUUACGGGUGAGUAGAGGAGUCCAUUAAAAUAUUAAUAAAAUUCAAAUGUCUUGCUUAUUAAAAUAAAAAGUUUAGAUGUUUAUUUAUCAAAGAUCUAAAUUUUACUAGGUAUAAAUAAAUUUCUUACAAAGAAAAUUAGAAACCGUGAAUUGGAGACAUGUCACCGACACGUAAUAGCGUUAGUACAAGACAUGUUUUUCAUGUUUUUUGUAGGAGAAAUGUAAGCCUCAAAUGUACAAGCCACCGACAAUUGUUAUUAACUUAUAUGUUUAUCAGUGUGUACGGAGGUCUCUCUCAUUAAAAUAAAGUAGAAAACGAAAGGGAAAAAAAAAAAACCUAAAUAAUUCUGAUACACUUAAUUUGGUGCAAGCAAAUUAAAUUGGGAAAUUAUUUUUGUACACCUAAAAGGGAUAUAAGUUUUAUAUUUUUCAUUUUAGGGCCCACAAAAAUUUGAUAAAUUAUUAUACAAAAAAAAUUAAUAUGAUAAGUAAAAAAAUAAUGACUCUUGAAUAAAAAAAAUAUAAAGUGCACACUCUAUUUAAAUUAUACUUAAAUAAUUGACGAUCCGGGCGCAUUAUCUAUAGCAUAUAAAGUAGAGUCAUAUUCUUAAUUAGAGUUCAACUCAAUCACUAAUUUCAACUACCAAUUCUCACUACAGAUAAAAUUGUAAUCCAUUUCUAAUUCGACUCUGAUUAGCAUUAUUUUUAACAGAAAAUACCCAAACUAUUUAUUACCCGGCUUGACAAUUUUAAUUGCAAUGUCAAUUUUUUUGUUUUUUUCAAUUCGUGCAUUUCGAGUUAGAAACUUAAUCCUAUUUUGCCUUUUUUGUCCUUUUCAUUUCUUUUUUGGUCUACCGAACUGUUGAGUCAGUUAGGCGCGAACAGCUGGCACACCGGGUCCAUAUCCGUAAGACGGCUAAGACAGUAGACCUAGAGUACACCGGACGCAUACAAGCUGCACUGGACCGAGGAGUUAUAACAACCGCAAGCUGUUACGAGCGGUUCCGAUCGGCCAAAGGUGGUCCUACGAAUCAGGAGACAGUGGCUGAUCGUGCAAGAGCAAUAACUGACGCAAAGACGGUUCUAUAAAUAGGCAUAUGAUACCCUGAAAAAGGGUCUUCGCCCCUGCGCACAAAAAAUCACCUUUAUUUUUCUACAUCUUUCUUUCCUGCAUUUACCACUUUUCGUAAGAGUAGUUCGCAUAACUUAAGCAUACUUGGAGUCUGUCUGCCCUACGGGCAUCACUCCGCUAUUCUUAUACGUUUGUUCAAUCGAAAGUCACGUUCGGCUAUUCAGGCCGACCAGAUCUCGUGUUGUUCUAGCCAUUCGGCUCAUCUCUCAGUCGAAUUCUGGGCUUCCCCUCUUCAUUCGACUCAUCCCGCUGAAGCGAAUUUACUGUGAAGGUUUUCGAACCCGGCUGAUUCGAUCCCUCAUCGGCCGAAUCGCUUGAUCCGUCGUGGGCGCAAACUUCGAGGGUCACCAUCCGCGGCCGCGCAUCAUUCCCGACGCUCUUCCCGAGGAGGAUUCUCGACCAGGUCAAGGGACGGGACUUUCGGCCGCCAAUAAUUUUUUGGCACGCCCGACGGGACUCAUUUUUUAAGGUAAAUCUGCAUUUUAUAUAAAGCAUGGCUGAUGAUAACGCCAUGAAUCUCCAUAAUAGGGCUAUUCCCAGAAAUUCUGGAAGUGAACAGCCCAGCAAUUCGGAGAAUAACCUAGAGCGCCAAGCGGUUUUACCUGCUGAGGGUGAGACUAGUGGUCAAUCUGGCCAACAGGAGCCUAGUUUGACCCAAGCGCUUGGCCAAAUGAUUCGGGUCCUACAAAUUUUGGACCAAAAUAGUCACGCAAGUACCGUACGGCUGGAUGCCGUUUUGGCCGCAAUCACGGCCUCUAACGAGAACAUAGUCCGAAUAGGGCAAUUGUUAGCUCGGAAUGAACAGCCGAUAGAAGGCCUACAAGCGCCUGUGAUAACGCCGGUGUUACAGAAUCCAGCAACGCCGGUGGUUGGUCAGCCCCAAUACCAGAGGGCACAGUAUCAAGCGGCUUAUAGACCGGUUGUUGGUAACGCCGGUCAACAGCCGAAAGUAACUUGGGGGUUACCUCCACCCCCUCCAGUUGCAGCCUACCAGCCCCAAAAUGUAGGGGCUAAGGGGCAAGCUUUGAAUGUACAAGGAAUUAAUCCCUUAGCACAAAAUCUCGGUGCACAACAACCACCGAACCCCGUACCAGCGCAAGUUCCUUUCCAAGGAAUUAAUAAUGAGAUAUAUGCGCAAAUAGAAGAGGCCAUCCGAAACACUUUCGGAGUAGGCACAAGGCCGGCAAUGCGGCCUGUAUUUAGAUCACCAUAUCCUGCAAAUAUAGAUGUAGAACACCCAUAUCCGGCAAAUUGGAAGAUGCCGAAAUUUGACAAAUUUUUCGGCGAUGAGACCGAAAAUACGGUCGAACACGUCGCUCGAUUUACAGCUCAAUGUCGCGAAGCAGCGGCGGAUCAUUUUCUAAAAUUAAGGUUAUUCAAUACUUCACUGAUCAAGACAGCCUUCAUAAUAGGUCGAAACUGUUUUUUUACUGUAUCUUUGAUGGAAAUCGUCCUUUUGGGUUCUUGUGGAAUUCUAUACUGUGAUCCUUCUCACUGUCUUUGUCCUUUGUACAGAAGGUUUUAGCUCAUCAUAAUAGGUUGAAAAUAUUUUCCCCCUAACUUUUGCUUGUAAGUUAGAAAUCUUACAACGGGGUUUUCUAAUAGCUAUUAAAAUAUUAUUUGUUUCCCUAAUUUUUGCCUAUAAAAAAUACUUACAGCGGGAAUUUUUUCUAAUCGUAUCUAAAUUGUGUAAUAUUAUACUGUCGUUGGAAAUUCCCGCGCCUGAACCAUUGUCUGGUGAUUCUGUAUUUUGUUGGAGUAGUGAUGAGAUAAAGAAGGGAAGAAGGAUCUGCUUGAACUAGGAUCCUCAGUAACUGUUCUUGGAGAUUCUAAUUUUGAAAGUAUCUGUGCUAUUAUUUGUUCUUAUAGCAUUAUUUUAUAUUAAUUAAUUAGAUAAUUUCUUAACUAAAUAUUUAACAAAAAUAAUUUACUAACUAAUUAAAAAGAUAAAUUAUUUUUUAUAAUUAAUUAAUUAAUGUAUUAAUUACCUAAUUAAUUAACUAAUAUUUAUAUAUAUUAAUUUACUAUUAUAUUCAUAGUUAAUAAAUUUAUUAAUUUAUUAAAUUAUUUUUAAUUAAUAUUUUAUGUUAAUUAAUUAUAUAUAAAAAAUUAUUAUUUUAAAAUUAUAAUUAUUCUUAUUCUCACUAUUCUAUUCUAGCUAUCCAAACGCUAUAUUUUUAAUAUUUCGAGAACCUAAUUUUCAUCCAAACGCAAAUUAAAUUAGUUUAAUUUCUAGUUAUAUCUAAAUUUAUAUCUAUCUUUGAAAUAAGCAAUUUUUAUAUAUACCGUAACCAAACAAAGCCUAAGGUUGCGUUUGGCACGGAGGAUAUCCUGGAACAAAAUGGGAUAUUCGCCAAUUUGUAGCCAAACACUAGCGGAACUUUGGGGAACGGGUUGUUCUGAUCAAAACAGGCUAUUCUGGGUUGUUCUGGAACAACUCGUUAAAAAUUGUUUCUAGAAAAACUCACAACAACUUUGUUCCUCUCUUUAUUUUAUUAGAUAAAUAGAUAAAUAAAUAAAUAUAUUAAUAUAAAUAUAUCUUUAUGAUAAUAUAUUAUACUUAAAUCUUAUUAUAUAAUAUAAAUUAAUUAAAUUUAAUAUAUUAUUUAUUUCAUUAAGUUUUAUUAUUUAUAUAUUAAUAUUCAAUUAUUUUUUAUAUUAAAUGUUAUAAAUAUAAAAUUAUUUUUUCAUAUUUUAUAUAUAUUUUAUCAUUUGUAUUGAAAUUUAUACUAUUAUUAAUUAAAAUUAUUAAGGUAUUGUUAGUAUUAUAUUUUAUUCAUUACAUAUAUUAUGAAUAAUUUAUAAAUAAUAAAUUAUUAUAUAUAAUAAAAUAAAUAUACUAUUUUAAAUUAAACUGUUACAUAAAAUAUUAUAUUAUAAAUUACAUUACGAAAUAAUUUUAUAAAUAAUUUUAUAUAAAAUAUACCAAUAUAAAUUAAUUAUUUUUAUUUUUAAAAAUAUAUUUAGAUCUUGUUCUUGACUUUUUAUCCAAACGCUAUUAAAGAAUAUUCUUUAGAAUAUCCACGAAUUAAUGCAUUCAAACACAAAUUUAUAAUUGUUCUAUUUUAUACCAGAAUAUGUUCUGUUCUCGAAAAUAAUAAAAUUUGUUCUCCAAAAUUUAGUUCUCCACCUAAACGCUGAACAGUCAAUAGAUCUGAAAAUCAGCUUAUGGUUAGGCAGCGCCAUUCUCCUCCAAGAAGCCGCUUCUCAUUGGCAACUACCAGACACCACUAUCUUAUUUAUUCCAAUGUGUGCAUAGCUUAUGGGAUAGAGCAAUAUAUCUAUCUCAGUUAGCUUUAUUUCCCGUCCUAAUCUCUAGUUGAGCUCAACCAAUUCUCCAUGAAGAUAGUAGUGGAGAGCUCGAGAAUCAUCAAGCCUGCUCACAAUGCUGAUCAUAUUCGUCCUCCACUUACGACCACUCAACACAUUCCACUGAGUGUGUUCGACAAGGUCACCUUCGACACACACGUCGCUGUCAUCUACGCAUUUCGCCCGCCGACUCCUCCCAACUCCGUGAUCGAGGAGGGGCUCGCGAAGGCGCUAGCAGAAUAUGGACAGUACGCUGGUAGGUUGGGGGAGGACUCCGAAGGCAACCGAGUAAUCCUCCUCAACGAUGAAGGAGUGCGGUUCGUCGAGGCCUCUAUCGACACCACCCUCAGCAAUGCCAUGCCCUUCAAGCCCUCUCCUUCUCUGCUGGACUUUCAUCCGAGUGCCGACGGUGUGGAGGAGCUGCUGUUGGUCCAGCUCACGAGGUUCACUUGCGGCUCUCUGGUUCUAGGUUUCUCGCUACACCACGUUAUCUCUGAUGGCCAUGCCACCAGCAACUUCUUGGUCUCGUGGGGCCUCGCAUCACGCGGACUUUCCAUCAGCCCCCUCCCGCUGCACGACCGCACCUCGCUCUUUGCCCCCCGUCAGCCGCCGCAGCUCGAGUUUGAGCAUCGUGGCGUGGAGUUCAAGAGCAAGAAGAUCAGUAGAGACAGCAAUACGGAGAACCCACUAAAGAAUGAGGUUGCCAUUCACAAGGCGCACUUUACUAAGGAGUUCCUCUCCAAGCUCAAGGCCACGGCGUCCGCAGGGAGAGACCAGCCAUAUAGCACGUUCCAAAGCUUGGUGGCUCAUUUAUGGAGGGUUGUGACGAAGGCGCGAGGCCUCAACGGUUGCGAGACCACCCACGUACGAAUUGCCGUGGACGGACGCAGGCGGAUGAUCCCAGCUGUGCCCGAUGGGUACUCGGGCAACCUAGUCCUUUGGGCCUUCCCGCGCGCCAACGUGCGGGAGCUGCUGAAUAGGCCGCUCCAGUAUGCUGCGGAUCUCAUCCGCACAGAAGUCGCCAAGAUGGAGGAUAGCUAUUUCAAGUCGUUUAUAGAUUUUUCGAGCUCUGGGGCGAUCGAGGAGGAGGAUCUGGUGCCGACUGCCGAUGCUGAUGAGAUGGUGCUGUGCCCUAACCUAGAGGUGGAUUGCUGGACAAGGUUUCCCUUCUACGACCUGGAUUUUGGUGGGGGUAGCCCGUACUACCUCGUACCGUCUUAUCUUCCUGUGGAGGGGCUGCUUAUACUCUUGCCAUCCUUCAUUGGAGACGGGAGCAUUGAUGCGUUUGUGCCCUUGUUCCAUCAUAACUUGGAUUCCUUCAAGCUUUGUUGCUAUUCCAUGGACUAGUCCAUCCUUCUUGCACACGUAUGUUUAAUUACGCGCUCUCUCUCUCUCUCUCUCUCUCUCUCUCUCUGAUAUUAAUCUGACCAACUACUUUGCUACAUGCAACAGGUUUACGUAGAUGUGCACGAAUUUUCAAGAACUAGUAAUGAGUCGUGAAGUUCAGGCGAAAGAAAAAAACAAAUGGAAUCUUGCAGUUGUAGUCGCCCAAUCUAAAACUUCUUCUGUGCCUAAAAUGCAUGUUUAAUUACGAGUAUGACCAUUUGAGACAUUCUUUUCCUUUUAAUUACGCUAGUUGUGCGUGAAAAAUAACUACCGCUACGUGUUAAAUAAAAAACAAAGAAAAUAAUCAAUUAUUAAACUCAAAGUAUAUAUAUGCAUUGGGUUUAUUUAAUUACAGUCUAUUUAUUUGAUGUUUCAUUUAAUUAUAUAUGUACGUGCCUGUAGGCACACUUGUGAUACUUGUAAUAAAUAAGAGAAAUGUUAUUUGUAGAAAUUAAGCCAUGUAUAUCUUACACCACUCUUUUCUAGAGUUUAGAUUACCUACUCUAGUUUUUCAUACUUAAAAAAUAGGGAAUAAUGAAAAUCAUAUGGAAAAAUUAUCCUUUCGAUAAUAUUCCAAGGUAUAUAACAAAAGGUUGAUCUUUUUCUCAAAGGCACUACUCAGCUUUUCUUUUUCUUUUUUUUUUCUUUUUUUUUUUUUUUUCAAUUCCCACACUGUAAGCAAUAAUCUAUAUUUUUAUAAAAAUUGUUAAAAAGUACAAAUAAAAAGUGACAGAGCAUAUAUGUAGUAACCGAGAAUAUUUUACGGUAAAUUUUUCUAAAGAGGGUGUUUUAUCACGCAUUUAGAAAGAAUUUUCGACGAAAUGAAAAGUACCACAUUCAUGGUCCAUCGGUGUUAGAAGUCUUAUAGUGGAAAUGGGUGCAAUUUGGCACGAUGUAGUGAUGUUUUGAAAAUGAAUUUGUAUAAGUGUAACUUCGCUGAAUUAGAGUAUUUAUGUGAAAAGUGCGUAAUUCCAUGUGUCAAGUUGAACAAUUUUUGAGGUGGAGAUACUUAUGAGCACACUACAAUAAAAUUAUCUUUUAGCGACAAUUUAAUAAUGACGAUUAUCAAACGAUCGCUAUUACUAUUAUUUUAUUACACUUUAGCAACAAUUAUUUUUAAAUAUAUAGUUUUAACCUACUAAUAUUUAUAUAUUAAAUAUAAUCCUAACCCAACCCACCGGAACCCAACCUGCGGCGACCUCAACCCACGUCUUCCUCCCCGCUCUCCUCGGCGCUCCCCAUCUCCUCCCCUCUCCGCAUGAUCGCCUCCGCCUCCACCAUUCCCAAACCCUACCUCCUCCUCCCCCUCUCGUCUCCCUCCUCCCCCUCUCGUCUCCCUCCUCCAAACCCUCCAUCUCCGUUCGCAACCUCAACGCAUUGCGCGCUCGGGAAACCCUAGAUCAAGUCGUAGAUCCCACGGUAGUAAGAUUUCUUACUGCGUUUUUCUUCUUCUUCUUUUUUUUUUGGUUUAAUGGAGAUCGCGGAAACUUCGAGUUGAUUGAUCGGUGUCGUGUCGAUUCUCCUAUUGAGGUCGAGGAGGGAUUCAGAGCUCUUAUGGCGUUGCCCGGUGAUGAAGUCGAUAAGGUAUUUGAAUCUUUGAUUCUGUUAGUUAAAUUGAGGUAGUGUUAAUUUGAAGUAAUUGUUCGAUUUUUUUUCUCUUUUUUUUGUGUUCUAUGAUGAAUUGCGUUGUGUGUUUCCUCUCUGAAUCAUGUACUCUCAGGAAAUAAUGCUUCAAAUUUAAAAAUUAAGAACCAUACAGAAGAAAUUUGUUAUUGUAUUGUCUAUAACGAUUUGUGUAGUGUUGAUAUAACAAUCGCCAUUCUCCACUUAAUGGUGCCCACGCUCUUUCGAAAGCAGGGUAGCUAUGAGAAAUGCCUCUACUAGUAGAUUUUUUUCUUCUUUUAAUGUUAUUUUUAGCUGUCAAAUGGUUGGCAGGACAUUGUAUUUGAUAUGGGAGAGAUGUCUUCUAUGUUUUUGCUUUUGUUUUCUCUUGUCAACGUGCAAUCUCCCUACCACUUAGUGUGGUUAGUGUUGUGGCAGUCAAAAUUGAACUAAUGUUACCAGCUGUUCCAUACAUUUCACUGAUGCAUAGGCAAAGUCUAAUUUGCGCUAUGGUUAUCACGUUGCAUGUGAUACAGAUAUAUUCUUUGUUUUGUGCAGGUGGUGAAGCCCGGAGACACUAUAUUCAUUGGGCAAUACUUGUUCACUGGCUGUGAAACUACUUCAGUAUGGUUGGAGGUAAGUGUGCUAGUAAAAUUUGCUGAUAUGUUUACAUUCUUUGCGGGCUGAGUUUUACUUGAUGUAAUAAUUAUUUACGUGUCUGACUCCACUAAAUAUAAACAUAUAAAUAUAGUGCCAACAUCUUUCAUCUAAUUAGCCAAAGCUUCAAACCGACUGAUCCUUUUUGCCAAAAAACUAACGAACUUACUUGGUAAGUAAUAUUAGGAUAAUUAGUUAUCUGAAUCUCAAAUAUCUUUCUAUCAUUAAGCAUUUAUUGUAUGUUUAAUUAUGUUUUUUUUCUUUUAUUGCAUCUACUGUGCCUGCUGCAAGUAGCUGAACUGAAAGAGGAUGAUGUGGUUUGCAUAAUCAAGAACUUUGCUACUCUGGCUGGAUCCCUAUUCACACUGCACAUUUCCCAAAUACACAUUAACUUGCCAACACUUUCUGAUUCUGACAAAGAUGUAAGAUUUGUUGCUGUUUUUGUUUUUUUCUCUUUCUAUUCUUUUCUUUUUUGCAUUAGAGCGCUUUUUUUUCCCCCUCCGAUUAGAAAUUUAGAACAUCUUCUAAACUUACUGGUUUCUUUUUGCAGCAAAUCAGAAGAGUUUGUUCUAUGUAUUUUCUUUCAUUCAGAAACAACUUUUUUCUAAUAUAAACAUUUUAAUCAUGCAAAUCAGUAUACAGAAAUUUUUGGAGGUCUGGCCAUUUCAGCCAAAAGGCUCAUUCCCUGCACCAAUAUCUGUGCACCAUACAGAAAUUUGCAACGGAUAUCAGUAUCCAAUAUCCGUUGCAAAUUACUCAUUCCCUGCUGUAGUCUGGCCAUUUCAGCCCUUAGAUCAUUGAUGAUUUCCCAAUCCUGCACCAAAAGAAGUUCGGUAUCAAAUACCCCUAAAUAAACCUGUAGCAAGGAACUAAAAGAUUACCACAGAAGAAAGUUCACAAGUUUUUAUCCUCUUGUUGAUUGUCAGGAAUUUAGAAUAUGCAGGAAAAGAUAUUUAGCACAGGAAAAGAUCUCCAUUUCAAAAAGUGACUAAUCAGAUGCCUGGCUAAUAAAUAUUUUGAACUUCUCUUGUAAUGUAAACUAGAGAAUAAACUUCUGCUGAACCCCUACCUAUAUAUUCAUUCAUAUGAGUGUCUAAAUUUUUUUUAGUGUUUUGUGGAAUUCAGACUAAAAAAAUCAUGGGGCUGUAUAUCAUGAAGUUGGGAAUUAGAAUCAGUUGGUUUUUUUUCGAUGAGUUUUGUAAGGAGGGUCAAGGCCUUCUUCUUAUUGGUAUGUUUGACUGGAUAGGUAGCAUUUGUAGUCUUAUUUGGACAGAAAUAGAUUGCUUUCUGAGCUUUGGAUUUAGCAAGCCCGCCCAGCAUUCUCUUAUGUAGCUAAUGUAAAAAUUUUGUUAUAUACCCAAAAAAAAAAUCUAAAGAGAUUUGUUACAUAUUCCUGUCAAUUGUCAUUUUUUGUGUUCUUAUUAUCAAUCUUAUAGUUGCCUCAGAUGUAUGUCCUUUUGUGCAAGUUUUGUAUUUUCCUUGUUGGGUUUCAAUUUGUUUUGGCAUAUUGCUGCUCUAACCAAUUUUACCCUCCUAGCUUUCCACUUUGCUAUCGGAUAUCGGACUGAAUAUUAGGGAGGCUCAUGUCUUUUCGACAACUGAUGGCUAUUCUCUGGAUGUAUUUGUUGUUGAUGGAUGGCCUAUUGAGGUAAUUUCUUUUUCAAGUCGUAUGAUAUUUCUUUGACAAACGCUAUCUGAGUUGCCUUAUGUGGUCUGUGUAGUACUAGAGGCAAGAGUUAUGCUUAGUCUUUAUGCUAUAGAAGCAUGUGAGGGAAAUUAUUGGCAUCAUGGUGUUAAAACAUCUUCAACUUAAAUCUGUAUUAAUCAUAUGUUUAUCUAUUGGAAGCAUUGUUUUGGAACUCAACAGUCAAUGAUCUUAACCUUAUACUGAAUAUGAAACUUAUGUGUGCUAAUAAAGUACUUGAAGUCAUAAUGAUGAGGUAGAUAUUGGAUAAGAAUAUCCCAUAUAUGCUGUUUAUACAGGAAUUGAAGUUUUCAUUACAUUAUUUUUAUAUUUUUUUAAAAGAAAGUUUUGUCAAUUUGCUUGUACUCCUGCAUCGUAUCUCACAAAGUCAAAAUGCAAUUUAAAAUGUUUUUGUUCCUCUAUAUCCUCUUCAUUCAUAUGUUGAUAUUUGAGGGACCUUAGUUUGUCUUCGCACAUCUACAGAAAAGAGACAAAGGGUAUGUCUUCCUAGAAGGUUUAGUCUCUUGAUUUAGAUUUAGUAUUAGAUUUUCCUCUUUGAACCAACUGCUUUUAUACCACGAAUUUUCCUGUUUGAAUCAAAUAUCAUAUUAUAAGCAAUAUUAUCAAGAUUUGUUUUCUUUAACAAUGAAUUCCACCUAAGAUUAUUGGAAGGGCUCCAACUUUUAUAAAUAUCGAAGACAGAGAUUGAGAUUAACUUGCCUGUGUUCUUACAAAAUUUGUGGCCUAUCUGAUUUAACAUUAAUAAUGUAUAAUAAUCAUGCUGUGUAAGAGCGUAACAAAAAAGCAUUUGCAGCUUUGCUAUUAUAUUUGUUGCAAUUGAAAACUAAUAUAUAAAAAUAGAAAGAUAUAUGGUAGAUAAAUUGAAAAGAAAGAACACAGUAAAGUAAACUAAUCUUAUUUAUGAGUAACUUCCAACUCCAACAUUUCCUGCCAAUAUUAAUUCCAUGGUAUAAUGUAUAAUCAUUAUCUGUAAGUUUUCUACCACAAAUCAACUGCUAAAAUAUGUAAAUUGAACAUUUUCUACAUGUUUUAUGUAAAAUAUUAAUUAGGCAAUAUACUUUAUAAUAAACAUGGCUUACAUAAUAUAAUGAGCUAUUCAAACGAUUCUAAUGUGUGGUACAAGAAAGAUGUUAGAAUGGUACCAACUGAUAGUUUCACAGAUACUUUAUGGUUUGAUACUCUCUUCGAGCAGUUUAAACGAUCUUUCAAUGUAAUUAAGAGUUUGAUACUCAUAUUGGAUAAUUUUAUAACAUUCUCAUUGCUUCGUAUGCAGCACAAGCAAGACAUUAGAACGAUAUCAACGUUGCUGUUACAAUUCUCAGGAUUCAAGUGCUAGUGAUCAUGAGACUCAGGUUGCUUUCUUGUUUCCUUUUAUUGUAUUUUAUUAAUUAUGAGUAAACUAUGGUAGCUAGUAUUUUUAUAUUUAGUGGCUAUUUAUUUUAUUUUUGUUGGCAUUUGUGAUUAAUAUUAGAUAUUUUAUGGGCAAAUGUACUUUACUUUUAGUGGCCUUUUUAAUUGCCGGUAUAGAGUAAUCUUUAGUGGCAAUUGUUUUGCUCUUUACCGGCUGCCAAUAUAAUUGCCGCUAAACUUUUAGCGACCCCAUCUAUAGUGGCAAUUAUUACAAUUGCCGGUAAAGAGAGUAGCGGCGAUUAAAAUCGCCGCUAAUCUAUGAGAUAAUUGCCGCUAAAAGGUAAUUUUGUUGUAGUGGCAAAACACACAUAUGGGUGAGUUCUGGGUUUGAAAUUGUGAUCCAUAUAGGAUAAAUUGCACUUUUUGUGUUUUGGGAGAAAGGGGCGCGCAAUGCACGAAGGGGUUAUCAUUUCAUAUGAGAAACUCAAAGUGGAAGGACUAAUGUGAAACUAGCCUCGAAGUGGAAUGCGUGGACUCAAGUUUCGCGAAACUCUGAGUUUCCUAUGGAAAUGGGCACACGAUUGAAGUUAGAGAAAACUGUUUGUGGGACCUCUUCGCAAAAGUGUCAUAUUUAAUGUGCUAAUGUGUGAAAUUUUCACUAUGGGAGGGACUUCUACACAAAAUGUGUAGUCCUGGGUUCUUGACCAGAGUCUAGGUGAGGGGUUUUAUUGAAAUUCCUACAAUGAGAGAUGCAAAUAUGGGUUUGUGUGUGUGUGUGUGUGUGCGCGCAACUUACACUAUGAUCUUGUGAUAAUUUCAAAAAAAAAGUUCAUUGCACAGAGUCUCUUGUGAAAUGUCAUAGCUUACUUCAAUCAAAAGAUACACAUUUAUUUAUAUGGAAUUAACAUGUACUAGUAGUUUGUAAAAAGCUAAAUGAAAAACAAGCAUUCUGUAUGUCCAUUGUUUUAUUACCAACCUUUCGAUUAAUAAGAAUUAGUAAUUUGUUAAUACUUUAGUAUUUGAUUACAUCAUUUAUAUUUGGUAUUCUAUAGGUUUUUUGCAUAGCCCUGUAUUCUGAAGUCUAUUUGCUAUGAAUCAAGUAGAAGAGUAAGUAGUUUAUAUGAACUAUAGUGCAUUUUGAAAUGGAUACUUUAAUUUUAAUAAUUUUGGUUUGACCAUAUUAUCUUAUAUUAUGUUUAAUCAUUUCAAUAUAGGAGGAUGGGAAUUGAUAAAAGCUGGAUGAGUCUUAGGAACCGAGCAUGUAAUGAGUAUGAAAAGGGCAUAGACAUAUUCUUAGAUUUGCAUUUAAAAGAUUGAAAAAUGUGAAAAGAAUUCGUUAUCCAUGCGCUAAAUGUUAUAAUGUCAGACUCAAAAGCCAAACAAAAGUGAAGUACGAUUUAUUUCGUAAUGGGAUUAUUCAAAGUUAUACUAAAUGGCAUCAUCAUGGUGAAUUGUCAGAUAAAUCAAGUAGUGAAAGUGAUGCAGAAGUUGUCAAUAUUCCUAUAGACCAAGGCUGUAGAAAUAUGGAGACAAUGCUUGAGGACUUAUUUGGGCAUGUAGCGAACUCCUCAAAUACUAACACAAGUGAUGGAGAGUGUACUAAUACUUGGUGUUCUGAUAAUACUUGGUGUUCUGAUAAGGCUCAAAAUGCUAUGGUAUAGCAACAUUCUUUUGUAGCACAACUCUACUAUAUUUUCUAUAUAUACAUGUAUUAGACUUGUGAAAUCUUAAAAAGAAAUUCAGUUUUAAUUAUAUAUUUCGUUUUAUAUGCUUAGACUUGUGAAGACGAACAUUUUUCUUCUAAAUACAAAUAUGUUUCAUAUUACUUUUGUAUCUCAUUGAAUGCAGAAACAAUUUGAGCAUGUAAGAAAAUCACAAGAAGAGUUAGGUGAUCCUAAAUUAUCAACGGAAGAACAUUUAACAAAGGCUUUUGGUGCACGCUCGUGAUAUCUUCGUGGUUUAGGAUGUGGACCUAAGUCAUUAAGUAGUAAAAAUUUGGAAGCUAAAACAUCAGAAGAGGCUAUUGAGAGACAGAAGAAUUGAAGAAUGAGCUAAAGCAAUCAAGAGAGGAGAAUGAAGAGUGAGAAGCACGCCUACAAAGGGAGAAAGAUGAGAGAGAGGAGAGGUUUAAAAAAGAAAUUGAAGAGAUUGAAGCACACAUUAAGGCACAGUUUAAAGCUGAAUUUAAUGAACAAUUAAAGAUAAUUGUUCAAUUAUAUAGAGCGCCGACCAUAUCAUCCUCUCCUUCCACUCAAAAUCAUUAGUAGAAUUUCUUAGUUGAAGGUAACUAUGUAUUCUAUCUCAUGUUAUUUUUUACUUUUUAUAUUUUUGUUCUUUAAAGUAAAACUCCAGGUGUGUUGACAAUUAUCUUUUGAUAUGCUUAAAUUUAGUUCUGCAGCUAAAAUUUGCCAAGUUUUUUGAAUUACUUUACUGAUUUUACUUUUACUUUGCAAUUAGUAUCAACCAUUUCUAGAUAUAAUGGCAUACUCUGCUCGAUAUUAUCCCAGGAGCUUCCUCACGUUCAACUUGUUGGUAGACAUUUUUGGAUGAUAAAUUAUAGGCAUGCAAUUUGCAUCUUUUUCAAGUGGGCUAUCAGACCUCUUUGGUGCAUUUGAAAUUCUUUAUUAUGACUUUCUUAUGUGGUAAUUCCAAAGUGUCACGUGACUCUUAGUUUGAAGACAAAAAGUGUAAUUUAUCCUGGUUAAAAAUUAAAUGUAACUAGCAAGUUGGUAAGUGAUUUGAAUGGAACGAAACAAUGUUUUCUUUAGAAAAGCGAACUCUUAUCCUUCUCAAGUUGUUAGCAACGUCAGGACAUUAGUGAGAUAGUGGGAGGACACCUAGCUACCUCAGUCGUAUAGCUUAGUUUAUUUUUCUAAUGAAUAAAGUAGUUAACGGACUACACAGCUAUUAAAAAAAAUUAAAUGUAAUAACUGCGGUCAUUAUUUUUAUCCACAAGUGACUUUCGAAAUCAAAAAGAUACAUCUAAAUAGCUAGUGCACAUUCUCUAUUAUCAUUUUCUAACUAUUCGGCUUAUGCUGAUUGUUUAAAUUGAUGGAACGUAUAUCGUAGAGAAUAGCAAUACCAAAAAUUAAAGUCCAAGUAAUAAAUAUAGCAUUUUAAAAUUUAAUAGCAUAUGAUGGACGAGGAGUACUGUGUUCAAUUAUAUUUUUAGAAUGGAUACUAUAUUUGAGUGUGGUCAAUUGUAUAUUUAGAAUGGAUGUUACAUUUGGUUUUCAAAGUCCUAAAAAUAGUCAUUAUGCUCCAUGCUGCGAUUGGAGGAUAACUCAAAGCUUGGACAAAAAAUACAAAAUCACUACAACAAAAACGAUCUAUAGCGACACUUUUAAAUAUCGAUACAGAUAAAAAAAAGUGCUACUGAUCAAAUUACCGACACUUUUAAAAAGUGUUGCUAUAUGUGGGGUCGUUAGGUAUAUAAUGACAGUUAAAGAGUGUCGCUAUAACCUAAAAAGAGUGCUGCUAAUUUACCAAUACUUAUUUAAGCAUUUAGCAACCGCCGAAACUCUAUUUUGUUGGCUGCGGUGGUGGAGGAGGGUGAGAGGGAAGGGCUCUUCGUCUAGAAUUUCAAUAGAUUGAGUAAGGGGAGAAGGGGAGAUGAUAAUCGAUUUUUUUUUUUUUUUUGUUUGUAAUCGGGCUGAAUGAGCUCUGUGGGGUGGGUUGAAUAGAGUAAUCUUUUAUUUUUGGUUGGAUUAAUCUUUAUAUUUAGGCAUUAGUAGAUUUUUUUUUUAAGUUUUGGUGUAAAUGGAAUACUUACAAAAAAAGUGUCCCAAACAUGUUAUAGUGACUUAACCAAAAAAAUCAAAUGAAAUAGUUGAUUGAACACUGGAAUUAGUAUCGAGAAAUAGCAAGGAAAGAACAUGCGUACAUGAUAUACAUGUACUCAAGAUUUGUACUACGUACGCAUUUAUUUGCAUGCGCCAUGCAUGGAGACCUUUUUAACGUUUACACACCAAAGGCAUACUCUCUCUGUCUCUCUCUCAAUAUAUAGGGAACAAAGAAACAACAACAAGUUUAAUCUAUUUUGUUGUCAAGUCAAUUAAUUUGUUCAGNAAAGGAAUCUCAAAGAGCAGAAGAAUUAGUAUUACACAAAUAAGAUCAGCAACAUCAGCAGAUCUAGAAACAUCAUCACCAUUUCUUGUACUUCUUCCUUUCCUCCUCCUAUCACAGCAGUGGCCGCUGUCUUAGUUUGCGAUGCUACAAACCACACAUGAUCAUGAUGAUUGCUCGCAUUGAGAGAAGAAACCCGCAAAGCGCCUUGCGAUCCCUCUUCAUCUCCACCUCCUCCUCCCUUGGAGCCUCUCGAGUUGCAGUUCCUCUCCAUUAUCUGUGACAAAUUAAUUUCCUAAAAUACAUGUCACAUGUUUCCUCAAUUUAAUUUCAAGAAGAAGAAAAAUAAAAUAAAGAAGAUACAAAUCUAUGAGAAAUAAAUCAAUUAAUCAAUCACCUUCGCUUCCAUUUUUUUUCACUAUCCCCUUGUCUGUAAAAAUAAAUAAUAAGUAAGAAAAAAAAUUUAUACAUCAAUUAUCAAACAUUACAAGGUAGAAUUUCCAAGAGAUUAGAAAGAAACAUAUAUGCAUGAGAUUAUGUACGAGGGUUUGUUGCUAUUUUCACCAUUGGAAGGCCGAACCGCAGGCGGAGUCGUCUUGAUCCGAAGAGUCGUCUUGAUCCGAUGUCGGGGCUCGGGGCUAGCUGUUAUCGCACCCCGUACCUUCGUAUCGCAUCCGGUGCUGUUGCGGCAGCUUUGGGGCUUUUCUCCUGGAGUUGAUCUUGGUAUCGCUCGUCGGAGCGCUAGUCCUAGCUCAUCGGCCGAGAGCUCGUCGCCGUGUUGGUCUGCGUGGCCAUAUAUCUAAAGAUCAACUCCAGGAGAAGUGUCCCGUGGCCACCACAACAGCAACGGGUGCGAUACAUAAGGAAGUGGGGAACGAGACGCAGCAUCGGCGGCCACCUCCUCCUCCUCCUCCCUCCGUUGAGAGCAAGAACCCCUCACACAUUUAUGCGUCUUCUUUUUUCUUGGUGAUAAUUAAUCAACACUGUUGGUGUAAUUUGGUGUGUGUAUUCUUACAUAGUCGGGUUUCGAGAGAUUCAGAAGAUGCCAUGCUGCUGAAGAGCAGAAGAAGAAAACUUGCAUGAACGAGAAAUUCAGAAGAUGCGUAGUCGGGUUAAUUUCUUGAAUUCAACAUAGGUUUUGAUAUCACGUUAUACCUUUUCAUUACGAUCUUUAAGCUUUGAGGUUAAUUAAUUGUUUCAUGCAUGGCUUCUCUUAUAAAGAUCUUGAUCUCUCCCGAAAAGAAAACAUGCAUGAACGAGGAGCUCCUCAUUAUUCCUUAUUCGCUUCUCUCUCUCUCUCUCUCUCUCUCUCUCUCUCUCUCUCUCUCUCGCGCGCGCGCGCGCCCCUUUUCUUUGGGUAGAAAUUGUAUCAAAGAACUCCAAAGGUUUCAAAGCAAUUAAGUAUUUAGUAGCAAUUCAAUUAAUCAAUUCAAGUAUUGUACUAGAUCAUAUACACUAAGUUGUUCUUUUAUUGCUCUUUUUGUUCUUCUAAAGCUUGAGGAUCCGUUCAAUUCUCUUUCUCUCUCUUGAUUAAGAAGAGACUGCUACCCAACGAGCGAGAGGUGGAGGAUAUAUGCUGUCCAUGUCAAGCACUCCGGCUCACGACGGCUCUUCGGAUCAUGAAGAGGGCUCCCGACGGCCACCGCCUGCGGCUCCGCUUUCCAACGGCGACAACCACGACAACAACGAACCCUCGUACGUAAUCCUAAGCAUACAUGUUUCUUUCUAAUCUCUUGGUAGUGCUAGCUAGUAAUGUUUGAUAAUAUAUAUAACUUUUUUCUUAUUUUUGUAUUUUUUUAGACAAGAGGAUAGUAAAGAAAUGGGAGCGAAGGUGAUUGAUUGAUCGAUUAAUUUCUCAUAGAUUUGUAUAUUCUUUCUUUUAUGUUUCUUUUUCUUGAAAUUAAAUUAAGGAAAUGUGAGAUCUGUAUUUUAGGAGAAUAUGUUGAAGAGAAUGGAGAGCGACUGCAAUUCGGGAGGCUCAGAUCGACAGAGGAGGUGGAGAUAAAGAGGGAUCACAAGGCGCUUUGCGUGGACGGGUUUUGUCUCCCAAUUCGAGCAAUCAUCAGUACCAAGUGCGGUUUGUAACAUCGUAAAUGUUGACAGCAUUUGCCACCGCGAAAGAAUAAGUAGAAAGAAAGGAAGAAGCAUACGAAAUGGUGAUAAUGUUUCUGUUGAUGUUGCUGAUGGUAUUGAGGUAGUACUAAUUCUGCUGCUCUUUGAGAUUUUCUUUUCUUUUUUAUUCUCUUCUUUUCUUUUUUUUUUGAGAGAGAGAGAGAGAGAGAGAGAGAGAGAGAGAGAGAGAAUGGCCUUGGUGUGUGAACGUGAAAAUGGUCACCGUGCAUGGCGCAUGCAAAUAAAUGCGUACGUAGUGUAAGUCUAGAGUGCAUAUCGUACACGCAUGCAUGUUCUUUCCUUGCUACGUAUCCAUAUUACAGUGUUCAAUCAACUGUUUCAUUUGAUUUUUUUUGGUUAACUUUUCUUUUUCCGGCCAAGCUUUUGUCAAAGUGAAGACAUGUUAAAAUAAUUAAAUUAAACCUGAACAAUUCUUAUAAUAAACACAUAUUUCAUUGGUAAUAAAAAAAAUAUUUAUUAUAGCAGUUGUGAAAGUGAGAGAGGUUUUAGUCAUAUUUUUUUUUUAAAUACAAGCUAGUAAUAUAGAUAUAUAGUUUUGAUAAUUUUACUAAAUUUGAAAGGUAUUUUUUAUGUUAAUAAUUUUGAGAGGAUAUUUAUGUAAUUAGGGGUAGCUGAAAGGGUCCCUAAUUAUCCACCCCUAAUAAUCUAUAAACUCUUAUAAAAAUCCAUGCCUUUUUGUAUACGUGGCGAUAUUAGCUUAAUUUUAGAAUUUUGUGGGACCUACCUAUCAUACUAAAUUACCUCCCUAGAUAUCGCUGGCUUUUCUAGAUGCCUCUCCAAAUUCUGAUACGUCCUCCCUACACAGAAAAUUGGACCAAGUUCAUUAUACUAAAUGUACCUCCCUAGAUGUCGCUCGCCUCCCUAGACGCCUCUCCAACUUCUGAUGCGUCCUCCCUAAACAGAAAAUUGGUCCAAGUUCAUUGUCGGUUAUUUUUUCCAUCGCACCUUUUUUUGUUAGCAACACUUCGUUCCUGCCUAUUAAUCCCCCUUUGGUUGCAAAAAAGGUUCGGAUUCAUUCUUUAUGCUCUCUUUGACUCCUCGAAUAUUUAUAUUUGUUGAAUCCGAAAGGUCAUUUUACGAUGAAUGCGAUUUUUUUUUACCCUCCCUAGAUACCGUCCGCCUCCCUAGAUGCCUAUCCAACUCCUGAUGCAUCCUCCCUAGACAGAAAAUUGGGCCAAGUUUAUUGUUGGUCCUUUUUCCCGCCGCGCCAUUUUUGUUAGCAACGCUUCGUCCUGCCGAUUAAUCCUACUUCGGUUGCAAAAAUAGUUCAGAUUCAUUCUCUAUGCUCUCUUCGACUCCUCAUAUGUAUUUGUUGAAUCCGAAGGGUCCUUUGACGUUGAAUGCAAUUUUUUUUUGCCUAUAUAAUAUGCCUCUAUGAAAUUUUUAUUUUCGGCAAAAAAUUUCUAUUUCUCUGCCAGUGCUAUUUUCUUUUCUAAUUUGGUAUCCACCUUUCAUUUUUUGUUUGAAUUUGAAUUUGAAUAUGACUACUUAUUUCUUAAAAAAAAAUUGAAUAAUUUUACUGUCUCAGAAAAUUGACUAUCUGUGUACAGUUGAUCCUUGCUUGAUUGUCUCAAAUUUUCUUAGUUCUCUGAUUUAAUUUUUAUGUAUAUAUAAUUUAUUUUUGCCUUCCAAUUUGUUGUUGUGAAUAAUUUAGAUUUUUUUUUUUUUCCGAUUUGAUCGUAAUGCUAUUAUAUAUAAUAUAAUCUAAUUUGGUUGCCAAUUUAGAAAUAUUUUUACAAUAAUUAUUUUAUUUUUUUUGUGCUAAUCAUAAUGUUUUUAUAUAUGAUUUUUUUUGCAAAAAAAUUUAUAUAUNAUAUACACAUAUAUAUAUAUAUAUAUAUAUAUAUAUAUAUAUAUAUAUAUAUAUAUAUAUAUAUAUGUAUAUAUAGAGUUGAGCUAGAAUACUUCUAAAAGUAUCAAGAGGGUGGUGCUUGUGAGUUUUUAACCCUUGGAUAGAGAAAUGUAGGGUUGGGAUGAUGGUGGUAGGUGGUGGUAGGUGGAAUAGUGUUUGAUCCAAGGGCUAUUAGUAAUCAAGGAGUAGAUCUAAGGGCUAAAAACCUAAUGGCACCAAAGGGGUGAUACUUGUAAAAGUAUUCUAGCUCAAUUAUAUAUAUAUAUAUAUAUAUAUAUGAUGGCAAUUGCGAAAUAAUUGCAACCAAUGUAUGCACUAACUAAUUUUCAUUAUUUUUUUCAUUUGUUUGUUGAAUAUUUUAUUUUUUCAAUUAUUGUGAUGGUAUUAUUUUACUAUUUCUGUUUAAAAUUAUUU
Molecule: long non-coding RNA, 51498 nt
Filed under: Ananas comosus (pineapple)
Lineage: Eukaryota; Viridiplantae; Streptophyta; Magnoliopsida; Poales; Bromeliaceae
Description: long non-coding RNA (ACOM_LNC032480)
Source: RNAcentral